This 57995-nucleotide long non-coding RNA is filed under the name Coffea arabica (coffee). RNAcentral describes it as "long non-coding RNA (CARA_LNC007300)". Lineage: Eukaryota; Viridiplantae; Streptophyta; Magnoliopsida; Gentianales; Rubiaceae. The record is from RNAcentral.
CCCUCAGGUGCGAUAUCUUUUGAGAUAGGUAUUCCCAGGAACAAUAGAUUAACGCCUGGAUAAUCAGACCAAUUGUCCCAGCUCCGGAAGAGGAGACUGGUAUCGUUUGGAGGCUUAAACUGACAAGAUGGGUUGUCGAAAAAUUCCACCCGCACCUGAUCAACGACACCAGUUCUGAUAGUUGUGUCAAGAGCAGGGUCAGGAAUAGGACAUUCCGCAGCUACGGCUAAGAUGACAUUUGGGUAUCCCUUAAGUGCCCGAGCAAGAUCAUCCAAGUAAGUCGUGUUUCCGCUGUGGAUGUGAAGCUCUACGCCAUCUAAAACAGCUGUGCCGAAUGGACGGUCGCUUGAUUCACCGCCUAAGUAAGUGUUCCAGACAAAGGCUGCCACUUCUUGCGCAUCUUCGACGGAAGAAAGCCUCGGUUGUCCUGCGAGAGAAAUAAACACUUUGGUCUGAUGUUUCUGGCAAGAUUCUAUGUCUGAUGAGCUCGGCAAAGGAUGAAUUAUGUUCAAUUCAGGCAUCUGGCCGCUGCCAAAAUCUUCCAGAAAGGCAAUAUUCACGUCGGUAGCGAAUUCUCGCCUGCAGAACUCAGCCAAACUUGAUGGUUCUUUAUGGCCUCGGCCCCAGUAUUGGACAAUUCCGGCAGCUUCGGAGGACCCAAUCAGAGAAGCAAUCAACAGGAAUGUUAUUGCUGAGAACAGUGGUUGCAAAGAGGCAGCCAUUUUUUUUCUCUUUCUUUUCAGUGAUUUUUGCAGCUUUGCUUUGGUGAGUUCACUUGCACAAUGACUGACCAUUUUAUAGAUGAGUUUAUCUCAAGUGGAUGUUCAGCAUCUAGAAUAUCCAAACAUCCGUACAACAAAACGUGAAUGGCACGAUUUCUCAUUUCUGCUCUCAAAAAGGUGAAUGGUAUUAUUUUUGUGUUUCAAUAUUGCUAGAGACUACCGUUGUGCUCGCCUAACCUCAUCCACAACUGGACGAAGAAAGAUCUUUUUCUUUCUUUUUUUUUUCUUUUGGGACAUUACAUGGCAGCUAGGGGGGGGGGGAGUGGAUCCUUGAGAUUAAUGGGAAUUGAAUCAUCAUUGAAUUAGACGAGUGGUCCAAACAUCCUCUAAAUUUUAGAAGAAAUUGCAUAUCAAAUGAUAAUUGAUGAAAGAUAAAAUUCGAACCUCGAUAAGAGAAAACUAGGAGUCUUGUUUGAAAUGUAAAAUUUUCAUGAACAUUCUUGAAGUAAAAAGAGUGCUCAAGUAGCCUACGAAAUCCUUCAACUAUGGUACAAUAAAGUGAAAUGGGUGCCUUUCAAUGUGCAAUAAUGGUAGGGGCAACUAUUCUUCUAACUGCUGCUUCAAAUGCAAUUUUUAAUUUACACUUUUUACCAUCUCUCUAUAUCUUUAAAAAUUAAAGUAACCUGCACAACAUGCCCUUACUAUGUGCACAAAUAUUCAUACCGAUGUGCAAAACUUUGGAAUGGUCCUAGUUGUAUAUAUUAGUAAUAGUAGAAAUGUAAAGUUCAAUACUUCCACCUCAAAAGUAACUGCAAAAUAUGUCAGUUGGAAUGAUCCCAUUUAAAGUUCAGAUCACCCCUUAUUUAAUUAUGUUAAGUUCUUAAUAUUUUCCCAUUCAAUCCUUCAUUCAACAGCGGUGAUGGUGCUGUGACGUUUGGUCUUAAGCAAGAAAAUUUUUUUCCUCGCCCUCAGUGUGAAUGUGACUCUCAUAUAUAAAUAAUCUCAUAGCAAAACAUGUUCUUACUGAUCGCAGAAGUGAAGCUUGUACACAGGAAUGUAUAGAUUCCAGUUACAUCCAACUAAUCACUGUUUAAGCAUACGAAUUAGCCAUCACGGGCUAAGACACAGAGGCAAUUCCAGUUGGUUCUAGAUAAAGGGAUCUUCCUCUAACCUGCUGUCACAUCCUUUACAGGAGCCAAGACAGCAGGAACUAUGUCCACAGCCGAGAUAUGUCUCUGCUGAAACAUAGCCAAAUUCCUUGCUGUCCAUAGCUAGUAUAGGCUCAAAACCCUCUUCUCUUUCUUUGCUUCUUAAAUUCCACCCUUCAAUCCUAUGCUACUCAUCCUAUUUUUUAAGAAUUUUAAUUUAUUUAUUUUUUAAAAAAAUUGAUUCAUGUCUUCUGUUUGGAUCCAUGUCUUUGCUGCUUUUAAUUCCUUAAUUUAACGUAGCCCCAAACACGGCAUAUAAUAGUCACUCUCUUAAUAAAUGCAAUUAAUUAAUCAUACCAAAUAUAACGUUUGGAUUAGGUAUUGUAGCACACCUUAGUUUUAUUCUGUUCCCUAUUUUACUUAGUUUCAAACAUGCCCUAUAAUAAUCAACCCUCUAAUGAUGCAAUUAAAUAAAUAUACCAAAAAUAUCUAUACAUAUUUGAAACUAAACAUAAUUGUAUCCAUAACAAUCAAUAUAAAAAAUUAACUAAAAAACAAUCUUUGACUAACAUAAACUAAUAAUCUAAGUUCUUGUCCUCCAAAGAAAUAACAAUAUUCCAAAUCAUAUAAGUUGAACAGCUUAGCAAAUUAGCAAAAUUGACUAACAAACACAACACAAGGUUACAAAAUAUUCAACAUUUCUGUAUUCUUUUUCUAACUAAAAUUUACAAAUCAUACCCAAAAAAAGAACUAAUCUAAGUUCCUAUCCUCUAAAGAUAUAACAAGAUUCCAAAUCAUAUAGUUGAACAAUUUACCGAAUUAGCAAAAUUGACUAAAAAAAUACAAAAAGAGAACAACAAAAUUUUCAAUAUAUUUUGUAGUGCUUUCCUAAAUAAAAUUUAAAAAUCAUACCCAAAACAUAAAAAAAAAUGAAAUAUACUUAUCAGAUACUUCAAUUAUUAGAAUCAUCAUGCACAGAAAAUAAAAAAAAAUAGCUCUAAAUUUCAGCCCAGACCUAGAUCUAAAAUUGGACCUGAAUUAUAUAUAAUCGGACAUUAUUCAUGCUAUUAGAAUUGAUAGAUUUUGUUCGAGCAUAAAAAUGAAAUAUAAUAUUUUUACCUAUUCUUUUGUUACACAAUCAAAAUUAAAAUUAUGUUAUAGUUAUGACUAAAAGAAAUGGAGAAGUAUAUUUUGCAACUACUUAAACUUUUUAUUUAAACUAAAGACAUAUUGAAACUAGGAAAAUUAGUUUAGAAAAGAUAAUAUGAAAAUAAUGCACAAAAUUUGGCUCUAUAGAUGUAGCAUCUACAGAAAGGACGAUUUGCAUUUAGGGGUUGCGGGGAUAUGGAAAAGUAGCAUGGAAUGGGGUUGAUGCAAGGUAGAGUAUGAGGACAAGGGAAGAAGGAAGUAGGAAAGUGGUGAUGUGGGGGGUCGUAGGAAAAGUUAAAGGAAGCUAAAUUUACGCAAUGAUACUAAACUACUUAAAGUUUGAAAUUCCAAUUGAAAAUAUUAAUAUUAUGAAAAUUAGUUUAGGAACGACAAUUCACAAAAAUUACACAAAGUAUGGCUCCAUUUUGAUGGGUUACUUUUAGAAAACUUUCAUAAUGGGAAUAUUCUUUUAAAAUCUUUAUAUGCAGUAUUUUUUGGGUCUUUUUUGAAAAUUUUUGGUAUGUUUUCAUUGAUGGCAUUGAGUAUACUUAAAAAUGGUAGGUAAGUAAUAAAAUGAGUCUCGGGAAUAGAAAAAGAUAGUUGGCAAUGGGAGUGUAGGUAGCAAUUGGUAAAGAUUUAAGUUGACUAAGUUUACUUAACAAUAUUAAAUUUACUAUGAAUUAAUCCUAUAUACACUGAUAGUGUAUACGCUAUCAUUAUUAGAUAAAUGAUAUAUGUGCAAAAUUUGAAUUUAAAAUUCAAAAUUUACUCAUAUGUCAUCCAUUCAAUCGUGAUAGUGUAUAUAAAAUUUAUUCAUUUAAGUUAUAGAAAUAUUAGAUUUACAUUUUAUUAUCACUUUAUGAGAUUAAAUUUACUUAACAAUAAAAUUUACUUAACGAUAUUAGUUUCAUAUUUCUAUUUUACCUAUUAAAUUUACUUAAUAAUAUUGCUGUAAGUCCUAGAGCUGUUAAUUGAGUCGAGUAUUUGGCUGCCGAGCUCGACUCAAGUUUAAUUCAAGUCGAGCUCGACUCGAGCUCGUUAGGAAAACGAGUUUUAAAAUGUGUUCGAAUUCGAGUCGUUAAAUGUACAUGUGGCUCGACCAAUUUUUAUAUCACUCGUGUCCUCAUCAAAAUGGGUGCCCGUCAAAAAAAAGUCUCUGCGUGAUGCAGAGAACCUCUGCGUAAGUGUAGACUUUUCACAAUUCCACGUGUAUGGAAUUUUUUAGACAUCGACCGUACAGACGUGGAUUGGUUUGAUACAGUCAGGGAUUUAAAGGUCAAAUAUCAUUUGGAAUGAACGGUUCCUGUAGCUGAUAGGAGGACACGCCUCCCAAGGGAGAUUUCCUCAUACGGAAUAUCUUUCAUUUUCCAUGGCGGAUUGAGACUUCCAUCGUCCACUUGUCCCCACCUUACCCGUCGCCAAGUUUUUCCACACAACUAAUCAUUCCGAUAUCUUUAAUUGAAUGGGGAUAUCUUUUGCAUUUGUCUUUUGUGCUGUUACGUAUAAAAUAGUCGAGUUGAGUUAUUAAAGUUUUUUAUUUUAAAUGAAAGUUUUAAUUGUGCUGUGUAUUUCUGGAUUUUAAUAUAUGUUUUUAUUUGUCAUUAAAGCAAUAAUUCGUUAAUGAAUUAUGUUUUAUUAUGAAAAAAAAAGAGAAUAGAUACGUCAAAUAAUCUACUGAGCACCUAGUAGUAAGUAAUACAAUAAAUAUUGUUGAAGAUCUGCACUCUUGAUUGGCCUAUCUGUGUUGCAUUUCCUGACCAAACUGUAAUUGAUGGAAUUUAGAUCCGAUCAAGGAUUACUCGACAUAAAGGAGAAUAAUUGCAAGAUCAUUUGCUUAGCAAAGUAUGUGGAUCCCACUCCGUACGUUUUGUCGGCUUACUCUUGGAAAUGGACUAUUCCAUCCAACCGGCUUUUACCCGAGAGGUAAUUCUGACAUCAUUUCACAUAUUUUCUGGGAAAAUUUUUAAGUGGUUGCUUUUUUUUUUUUUUUGAUUGAAACGAUAGAAUUAAGUGGUUGUCAUUCUAUCAACAAUUUUCUAUAGACAUAGAUAAAUGAUGCUUUAUCUGAACUUUUUUUUUCCAGUAAUAAUACAUUGUAUAAUCUACUUUAUCCUAAUUUAAAAAGAAGGAAAGCCUAAAGAGGUUUGUGUUAGAGGUUAGUAGGUAUAUAAACUCAACUAAACUAAGAAAGUGUUAUGACACUACCCUUACAUUUUUUUUUACUGUCAAUAAAGUUUGAACCCUUGCCUACAGUCCAAAAGGGACUUAAGUCCAUAAGCUCAGUGGCUUGAAGCUUCAUCUGAACUUAGCUUUUGUGAAUAUUAUUCGUGUCACGUGACUGCAUUGGAUAAGCUUAUUAUCAACUGCCACUUGUACUAACUGACAAGCUCUUAUGUAGUUGAGAGAGAGCCUGAUAAAUAAAUUAAAGUGACGGUCAUGGUAAAUUUCUUCUCAUGAUCCGUGAAUGGAGUUAAUUGUUGCUGAAAUACUCUCUCCGUUCCACUUUGAUAGUUCUGUAUUUCUUUUUUAUCUAUCCCAAAUUAUAGUUCACUUUCUAAUUGAAGAAUGUAAUUGUAUUUUAAUUUUCCUAAAAUAUUCUUAUUUAAUGUAAGUAGUUGUUACUAUAAACCUAUCUCAUUUAAUGAGAGUUGAUUCUUUUUUUACCAUCAAUUUAAGUUUUCAUAAAAUUAUACCAUAUUUAAUGUGGGGGUAUUUUAGAAAAAUAGCAAUUUAAAUUUACUUUUCCAACAAAGUUAACUACAUUUUCUUAAACUGUGUGAAAAAAGAAACAGGACUAUCAAAAUGGAACGGAGGUUGCAGGAAAAAGGGGCGGGAAUGAUUGUCAACAGAACCUUUCUUGAACGGUGUAAAAGCGGUUCAACGAGUUGCGUUAAUUCGCCAUCAGCUUGCAAACCCUUAGAAUAUAAUGUUAGCUACUGUUCAUAUUGUCCCGUACUGCCAUGCUUCAUAUUGAGUCAUUACGAAUAAAAGCCCUAACGUUUCAAUGUCUGGACUAAGUAUAUAAAGUGAUAAAGUAAGAACCAAAAUCUAUCAAGCGUAUUAUCAUUCUACUAACAAGAACUGGACUUGAUUAAUGAUAAUUAUAAUGCCAUAGCUUUCAACUGGUUCCAAGUGAGAACUUACAAAAAGUAGUUCAACUCAAUGACAGCUCCUGUACUAAUACUUGUCACCAAUCCAUAAGCCCUGACGUCACAAAGAGGAAAAGUAAAAGGCAAAUAAGUAGCAACUCGAAUCCGAACUCGAGUUGAGCUCGGUCAAUAUCAAAUUCGAAUUGACCAAAUCGAACUCAAAUUUGAAAAUAUUUAAUUUGUUAGCUCGCGAGCCAACUCGAUUAUAUAAAUAUAUAUAUUAUUUUUUAUUUUAUUAGUAAAAUAUUAUAUAUAUAUCACUAAUAUUUUAUUAUUUAUUAAGAAAAAUUAUUAUUUUAUUUAUUUUUAAAAAUAAAAUAAUUUUUUUUAUUUUUUUAAGCUCGACCUUGAGUUGAAACUCGACUCGAACUUUACAUUUUGAGUUCGUUGAACUCAAAUUCGAGUUUGCGUUUCAUAAAAUUAAAUUGUGAUUCAAUUCGAUUAGGUCAAAACUCGACUCGACUUGACUUGUCCCGUUUCGUUUGCACCCGGAAGGAAGGACCUUAGUAGUGAUUCCUAUCAAUUUCUUUGAUUUAAGGUUUCAGUUCUGCCUGGGAAAAGGUGAAGAGGCACCACUAGCAUGGCUGUAGACCUAGUAGCUACAAUAAAGGCAUCAAGUUGCCCCGCCAAAAUCCGGCCAACCUCCAUCGCCAAUUAACCAAAAGAUAUUUUUAUCAUAGCUAAUAUUUGAGAAUAGGCAAUAAGGGAUAACCUAAGAUUAGUAAGUAGAUUUUUGACUAAAGGAGGAGAAGGCAUUUGGAGAGGUAGGCAUGCUUUUUUUUUUUUGUCGGUAACGGUAGAUAUCUUAUAACCUAAUCUAGGCUAAUCUAGGGGAGAGGGGUAAGGGGAGAUGGUCAAUUAAAAUCAGCCACAUAUUGUGGUAAAAUUUGAAAGAGAUAGGGAUAGAAUUCCUAACCUCCAAUAUCACCAAAGAGGGUGAUGAUCACUGGACCAAAUGACCGUGACAUUUGGAGAGGUAGCAUGCAGUUGAGCAACUUUAAGAAAAUGCUCGAGAUGAGGAAGACGAAGAGAGGCGAAAUUUCCUAGCUAGGGGAGAAUCGAUCGGGUGGCUUCAACCUUAUUGGUCCAUGAAUUUCUUUGACCCAUGGCCCUUCACGCGGUGUCUUCGUACGUCUCGCACUGGUACUAGACUACUAGGUUGUUUAUCGGCCGAUAAUUUGAUUAAAAAUUCAAUUUUUUUUUUCAAUUUUUUCAACAAUGUCAACAUCCAAUUACCGUUCAAACUUUUAUUUAGUAAUUGGAUAUUGCAAAUUGGAUUACGACCGAAUAAUUAGUAUUUCAGUAAAAUAUCCAAAGUUUUAGAUUGAUUUUCUAAUAUAUAUUAGUUAAGUAUAUUUAAUAUGUAAUUAAUAAUGUAAAAGGUUAUUAAUAUGUUCAUUAAUAUGGUUUUAAGGUCAUAUAUUUGUCUAUAAACAUAUAUUAUAACUUAUAACACUAUUGAUUGAUACAUCAAUAUGCAAUAUGAUAUAUUAAUAGGCAUGAAAUAUAUAAAAUAUUUAAUUAAAAUAUGAAAUUCGGUAACUCAGUCGGUGGUAAUCGAAAAUUCGAGAAUCGAAAUUCAAUAUCAAAUGACAAACUGUUUUGCCAAAAUUUAAAAUUGGAUCUUAAUCGGUUUUUCCAAAUUUCAUUUUACCGACAUCCGAUUUUCGAUCUAAAUUGAAUCAAUUGAUUAUUCGAUUUUUCUUUUUUUUUUUUUUUGGAAGUGCGAGCACCCUUAGCUCGCUGGUACCGGGGUAGCCAGCCAAAUUACAAUUGACCAGCUGAAUUGACAAAUCCUGAAAUCCAAUUCCAGUCUCUUUCUCGUCUUUAUAGCAGUCUAUCGCAAAAGAUUUCUCGUCUUUAUUGUUCCGUGCUUCAACCGGUAAACUUAGACGGCGAUGGGUAUCUAUUUGGGCAGGGAAACACCAUGCAUUUAGGUGUCACUGCAUGACGUGCAGGAAAAGUUAUCGUGCGGGCCAUGACUUGAACUCAUCGUGCUCACUAGCUAUUGGCUACUGCAUCAAACACGUACCCCAAAAAGGAACAAGAGAAAAAGGGUAUCCAAUGGAGCAUUUCUUUCCUUUAGUAGUUUCUAGCUAAUUACUUUUCUUUUCAUCAGCCAAAUUCAAUUAGGUGAGAUGAUUCCUCGAAACUACUGAGCCAAGCUCAGGGGCCACCCACUUUAAGUGAUUCCGAGACAGGUAAAUAAUGCGUUCGUAGUCUAGGUCAACGGUGAUUCAAUUUUUAUCGAUUUUUUUGGACUAUUUUAGAUUCCUCUCCUAAUAUAAAAUAAAUAUAAAUCUAUCAUAUCCGAAAAAAAAAAAGAGAUGCUUCCUCGAAGUUUAAUAGUAAAAAAAAGUGGACAAUAGUAGAAACCCAAAGUUUCACAAUCUUUCAUUUUUUUUGGUUCUGGGGGUUUGGCUGUAUGUUACGUGUGUCGUCGUAUCAAAAUUAUACCAUAGUGAUUUAUCAUUUUGAUCGACGGGACAAAAUGAUAUUUUAUUAGGAGAAUGUUAUAAUCAAGUAAAUAGUAGAACUCCCAUCCCUAAGUGUCUAAUUAAUACAGACACAAACGGAGGUGUGAUUGUAAUCUAGAAACUAAACCAUAUACCACAUAAGCGGAGCAAGUGGAAUCUACUAUUCACCCUCUUUUUUUUUUCAAAAACGAAAAAGAAGAAAAAAAAAACUUGUUUGUUUAAGGGUGUAAUUGUAGUUUAAUAUGAGUUUCAAUUUUUCCCCCAAAAAACUAAUUCUGUCCCUCAUGUGUAGAUCAUUGUAUUGUCAUAAAAAAAAAAUAGUUUAUUUCCUUAUCUUAUAAAUCAUAACCUAUCAAGUUUUGCAUAUUGCUGGCCAAAAUUAAUUUUUUUUUUAUUAUUUGUUGAUAUUUUAUGAAACAUUCUCUCAUAUCCAACUAUAAACAAAACAGGAGGAGGAGUUGCGGUGUUAAAAUUUUGUGCCAUCUUUUACAUUACCUUUUUUGUUCUUACACUAGGGUAAAAUGGCCUAACCAUAUUCAAAAAUUACUUUUUCUAGUUUUAUGUGGAAUUUUUAGCUUUGUUGCUAAUCAUUAUAAUUAAAGGUAACUAAUGAAAAAUAACUACUCGUAUUUUCACCAAAGAUUAUAAAAACAAAAUUUUUUUCAACAUGUAAAACUGAUUUCUAGAAAACUACUUUUUACAACUAAAAAUUAUAACUAGGUUAGGACUGAUUUUUUUGGAUCGUAAUGUAGGUAUCAAUAUCAAACUAAAUCCAAAUAAAAAUGAAUCAGUGUUUCCAUUUUAAUUUGUAUGUCACCAAGGAUUUCUCCCACAAGCACGCAAUGAUUUUCCACCAUGAUUUCAAAUUUGAAGACUUUUAAGUUGUCGUCGUGUUAAUAUCAACUUUGUAUAGUAUAGUGUAUAGUUCCUCCCUACUUCCUACAACACAGAACUACUUCCUCCCUACUUCCUCUCUACUGCUUUCUAGCUUUUCUGUCAAUAACUCUAUGAACUACUCAUUAAUGAUUUUUAAGUAUUUUUGAACCAUUGAUUAUGGUAGCUGGAUAAAUUCUUAUAGUCAUGUAAUGUUGAUAUACGUUGCAUCUCCUGGAUUAGUUUUCUACCUCCUUCACCAUUGCAAGAAGUAAUGAUUUGGCAAUUUGUAUAUUUCAGACUAGACAGACUUGACUUUAAUUUCCAUAUAUCUUUUUCUUGUUAUAAAUAUUGAACUUUAAUUUUUUUCUGAAAUUGCAAAGAGAAAACUACAUUUCUCUAUUUUUUUAAUAUUGCCACAAAAUCUGUAGAUUAUUAUUGAACAAUAUAAAAGAAAUAAAAUAAACUAACUUAAAGCUAACAUAUAUGUGCCACAAAUAAUUUUACAGCCAAGAUAGAGGUUGAUGGUAUGUGAUAAGAAGCCCUUUCCAGAUACGCCUUCCAGGAGAGAAUUGAAGUAAUGGGAACGAAGUUAAAUUGGCAUUGUAUCUACUGAUGGAACUGUUAGAAUCGCGUCACAAUCACUACCAGUAACUCAGCCUAUGAUUUGUUGUUCCUCGAAAAUUGUUAUCCAUAUUAAAGUUCGAAAAACAAUUUAACCAAAUCGUAUGGAGUACUAUUCAUCCAUUUUUUUGGUCUUUACUUUAACAGCACAACUUAGAGACAUUAUUGAGUUUCUGCAAAUUCUUUUGUCAAAAAUGGCCCAAGGAUGAUUUUUAUUUGAAAACUACAAUAUUUUUGGUCUCUUAGCUUUUCAAAUUGUCUAAAAUAAUGCUAGAUUUCUGCUCUAGAAUACUAAUUUAGUCUUUCAAUUGUCAACUAUUGCACUGAAUUUUCACUUAUUUAGGAGGUGGCUGGGGAGAGGGGAGGAGAGCGAAGAGGGAGAAGGAGGAGUGGAGAGGAGAGAGAGUUAGGGAGGAAGGGAGGGAGUAAGAAGGGGAAAAAAAAAAAGAGGACUCCGCCGGCUACCGCGAGCAGUGGGGAGGGAAGGAGGAGGAAAAUCAAUGAGGUGGAGGAUAUGAAGAGGAAAGGAAAGAAAAGAAAAAGAAAAAAGAGGAAAACUUUUACACAUUUAAAUAAGUUUUUUAUUUUAACAAAUUUUACAGUAAGAUACAGUAAAAUUAUAUACAAACAUACAAAAAAUUCAUUCGCUAAAUAGGGCCUACAUAACACACAACCUGGUAGUACCAAUCACUAUUUCAGUACACAAAUAAUCAAGAGUUAAAACACACAUGAGGCAAGCCAAGCUCCCAAGCCAAUUCGCAGCUGGUUCUAGUCAAAGGGAUCUUCCUCUAACCUGCUACCACAUCCCUCGCAGAAGCCAACACAGAGAAAGUAUGUCCAUAGCCGAGACGUGUCUAUGCUGAAACAUAGCCAAAUUCCUUGAUCUCCUUAGCUAGUAUGCCACAAUUUUUGAGAGAGAGAGAAUUAUAUUUGGAAGUGACUGAAUUCCAAGAUUACAUGCAUCUAUCAGAAACUAAUAUUGUUUUGUGGAUACGAAAUUCAAAAAUCUAAAGAAGUAGGUCAUCUUUGAAUAAUAAAAACUAAAGGGCAUCCACACUUUACAUAUGAUUUAGACUAAAUAAUAAUAAUUUGCCAUAAUCAACACGUUGGAUGAUGCAAUUGGACGUUCAAAAAGAAUCAAAGAUCAAGCGCAAACGUGUUGGUACUAUAUUAUGAAUUGGUUUAACAUUAAUUUGCCUGUAACCUCCUAUAGAACUCACCAAACUAAGCAUAAAUGCAUGGGGCCCAAGCACUAAUUAUUUGAGCAAGAUUAUUUCCCACUUUGUGUGACGACAAAAAGAAUGUGGGAAGUUCUGUAGUCAUGUGAUAUAGAUCAAGGUAGCAUCUUCCAAGGAGCACUUCCUGAGUUCCUGUGGCCGAUACAAAUACAACGUUGUUGAACUAAUCCCCAAAGGACCUCUUCGUGUUGUCGGUUUUGCCAAUGUCUCGUCUGUAUCACCUGUUUACCUCCAUUCAUGUAUAGUUGCCAUUGUGUUCGUUCUAUGCAUAUAUCCUGUUGUUUGGUUUAAGAUUCCUCAACUCGAGGUAGGAAUUGGGAAUCCCUUUUUGUUUGGAAGGCAAAUAUUUUCCAGAAAAUGUUUUCCUGAUUUUCCAUUGUUUGAUUGGGUUAUUGCUUGCGAAAAUUUUCCACAUAAAUGAACUGAAAUUAUUUUUCAUGUCCGACUUGUAAGGCUAUUCAUUCAUGCUCCCUUCUUUGCUGUUUUCUCUCUUUUUUUUUUCUCUGUCUCUGUCUUUCUUUCUCUCAGAUACACAGUGUUAGGAAAUUGGCUUAAAUUCUUUUAGGUAGAUUUCUUAUUUGGUGUGGGAAGUGACUAGUUUCCUAAUUGGAUUUAGUUACUUGAAGUAGUAGUCAAGUAAAGCCCUAUUUAGCAGAAAUUAGAUGCUAUUUCUAUAUGAGUUUAGGAAAUAGUAUUGGUUUCCAAAUUGUUAUUUGGUUUUUUGGCAGUAAUGUUCCCUAUAAAUAGGUGGGUUGGCAUACUACACACACAAGAAGACACGCAAAAGAAGACACAAGGGGCCUCAUGUAGCCUUAUACAUGGGGUGUGAGAGAGGGUUCUUGGGAGAUGAGAGAUGGUAUACAAGGGUUGGGUUUGGGUUCAAAUUGUAUUCUUGUAUAGGGUUUUUCUCUCAUAAUAAAGAACAGGUUUCUCUCCUUGGAUGUAGGCUCAAUGGUGGAGCCGAACCACGUUAAAUAUUGUGUGUCGUUUAUCUUUCAUGCUUGUGGCUUGUUUCUCAUUAAAUUGUUGUGCAUUUGAUAUCUCAAUAGUUGUUUAUUCCGCAUCUGGAUCCCAACAAGUGGUAUCAGAGCCAGGUUGCGAGACUUGACUGCUCAAGGUUCAUAGUUGGAUCCUAGUUAACUAUUGAGAUCAAGUGGAUUGAUAGUUGUCACCAAUUGAACAAUUUAAUGGGUGGUAUCCUUGUUUCAAUGGCUUGGGAAAAACCAUUGAUGGUGAAGGAUGGGAAGUCGAAAAGCAUGGAAAUGCUUGACAGUGAAUCUAAGCAGGUGAUUCAAGGGUCAAGGAAAAGGUGGAGUCCAAUGUUGAUUUUGGACGUGAAUCGGUGGAGACUUUCUCACAUAUCCAACGGUUGAUUCUUCAUCCCGGUGAAUUUUAGAUUUUGGUUAUGUUUUUUGGGUGGUGUGGCACGUGUCCCAAAGAAAUAAGGAGAUCUAAUUUCUAUGCGCCAGAAGACUCUGACAAGUACGAGUUUUUCGUUUUAGGUGGAGUCUUGAAAACCACAUGUGGCGAGACAGUCCUGAGAAUGGGAAGAAGUAUGGUGACUUUACCACUUGAUUGUCUCAAUGGUUAGGGUUAGAGCUCACAGAAGGGAAUCCCAGAUUGCAAGUGCUGAUGAGAAGAAAUCCUGCAAAGGGAGACGGUGAAUUGAGGCACCUUCUCACGAGUCAACUGGAGGUUGGACUCGGGGUAACUACACAUGUUCAUUUGCCGAUUGAAUCAAUUUGGUAUCAGGACUGUAUUGAUUCGGAUGUGUAGUUUGGUACCAUAUUAUUUGGUAGUUGAAGGCAAAUGGUUUCUAAAAGAAAUUUUCGCCAAGGUGGAGAUUUGUUAGGAAAUUGGCUUAAAUUCUUUUAGGUAGAUUUCUUAUUUGGUGUGGGAAGUGACUAGUUUCCUAAUUGGAUUUAGUUACUUGAAGUAGUAGUCAAGUAAAGCCCUAUUUAGCAGGAAUUAGAUGCUAUUUCUAUAUGAGUUUAGGAAAUAGUAUUGGUUUCCAAAUUGUUAUUUGAUUUUUUGGCAGUAAUGUUCCCUAUAAAUAGGUGGGUUGGCAUACUACACACACAAGAAGACACACAAAAGAAGACACAAGGGGCCUCAUGUAGCCUUAUACAUGGGGUGUGAGAGAGGGUUCUUGGGAGAUGAGAGAUGGUAUACAAGGGUUGGGUUUGGGUUCAAAUUGUAUUCUUGUAUAGGGUUUUUCUCUCAUAAUAAAGAACAGGUUUCUCUCCGUGGAUGUAGGCUCAAUGGUGGAGCCGAACCACGUUAAAUAUUGUGUGUCGUUUAUCUUUCAUGCUUGUGGCUUGUUUCUCAUUAAAUUGUUGUGCAUUUGAUAUCUCAAUAGUUGUUUAUUCCGCAUCUGGAUCCCAACACACAGAUCAUACGCACUUAGGGGGAGAUCUAGACUUGAAAUUGAAAGGGGCUAUAGGGAGAUCGUGAAGGAUGCUAGAGAAAGUUUUGAUGUAUGAAAAUGAAAUGAAGUUGUUAAUUUUGUGCUAACAUACUGUAAAUUUGAGGUAUGUUCACGUUCAAUGGACAUUAACUGUUACCGUUUGAAUUGCUAUUUUCUGGAACCUUUUUUUUUUAUAAAAAAUAUACUAUAGUGAUUUUGAUAUAUGUAAAAUAAAAAAAUAAUUGAAAAAUAUGAUCACGAAAAACGUAAAAAUUUUUUGAGGAAAAAUGGCUUUUCCAAACAAUUGCUGAAACUUUUUUGAGGUGUUGAUUAUGGUGGAAGAACGGUGGCUUUUAGGUAAGAGCCUGAGAUUUGGUAUGGGCUUGUGAACUAAAGGGUAUCUUAACUGCUUGAAGAAGAGUAAGUUCUGACAGUGGAUCCCUCAAGAAUUUGUCAUCCAUAAGUUAAUAAUUAUCAACCAACGUACAUAGUAGUUAACAAAAUAUACCUGUUCUUGUUCUCAGGUUUUCACUUUUCGGCAUAAGAAACCCACAAAAACACUACAAAUUUGUAGCAAACAGUACUGGGACGGAGAGUGGAUUAAUCCGGAGAAGAGAAGGGGGCGUCGGCAAUCCUGUGUUUUAAAACUCGGACCGGACUGGCCGGUUCGACUGGUCGAACCAGGAAGUCGAACUCGGAACCGGACAAGUGUUCAGUCCGAGUCAUGUUUAAAAACCAGGUAAGUAAAAAAUCGGUCAAAAUCCGGGUUUGACCGGAAAAAACCGGAUUUUCCGGUUCAAACAGUUUUUUUUUUUUAAAAUAAACUUUUUUAAUAUUAUGUUUUGACCCCUAGAUUGUUAAAAAUUAUUAAUAUACCUCAAAUAUUUCAUACUUUAUCAAUAUUUUCUUAAAGUUUGGUAUUGUUUUUCAAUUAAGUCCAUAAUUUUAAUUCUAAACUUGUUAAUGCUCAUUAAAUAAUAUAAAUUGUUAAUUGAUUGUUCUAAUUUCUUUGUAUUUUCUUGUUCAAUAUAUUUAAAUUAUCAAAUAUAUAUGAAUAUACCUUUAUUAAUAUUAACAUGUUAUUAGGUAUUUUAUAUAUAAUAUUUUAAUUUUUAAAUAAUUUUUAUUUAUGACGUCAUCCGAUUCAACCCCUAUUGAACCCGAUUGAAUCCAUUGACCCCUGACCCCUAAGUUUGAUCGAGUCGAUACCUGGUUCGGUUCUGAAAACACAGCGGCAAUCACCUGGACUUGGUUCAUAUUACACGCCCUGCUGUUUUGCUAAAUCAGUGUGUGAUGGAAUAAUCAGGCCCCUCCCUCGACAGUUUCAUCUAUGGUAGAAAGCUGACUCAUGUGUGCAUGGUGGGAAGAGCAAAGGAAAUUUGGCCAAGACAUUAUUGUGGGGCUGGGCAGGAUGCAGCUAUUAAAUGAACUACUGGAUAUCGGGGUUGAUUAUGGGUCCCAUUGUAUUUCUAGGAGAAAUAAAAUGCAAGUCCCUCAACAACUCAUGGGCACUCAUUUGCACCCAAAAAAUUUGGCAUCAACCGGGGAGCAGCUCCCCAGGCCAAAUUGGUCAAAUGCAAUAAUCCUUGGAGAUAUGUGGAAAUGAAGUCAUGUGUACUCCAAUCUUAAACUAUAAAUGCUUACCUGAUGAAAAGUUAUAACUGUUUAAAUUUAAUUAUUAGUUGACUUAGAUGAGUAAUUAUAUGCAUAAAUAAUUAAAAGAAAUUAAUUUUAUAUAAAUUUAAUUUUUACAAAAAUAAAUUUAUUAUAAAUUUAUAGCAAUUUGGCAAUUACAAUACUUAGGGUAGUUAUAUUGGCAAAAUGUGAUUAAGUAAUUAGAGCAAAAAUUAAAAGGUUUUCCCUAAGGAUAAAAUUGAAAGUCUAGAAAAUGACAUUAAAAAGCUUACACUAACUGUGAUCCCUCUAACUUUUUAUAUUGCAUAGAUAGUGGCUUUUUAACUGGAAUCAAAAUUAUAGAUGAAUAAUUAGAAACAUAAUUAACAAAGUGUUACAAAAAAAAAAAAAACCAGAAUCGUGACAUAAUUAACGUGGUAGAUUUUAAUUUAAAUUUAGAAAUUAAAUAAGUAAUCUUAUACGCAACAUGGUGACUUUCAAAUCGAUAUCAAAUUUGUAGAUGAGUAAUUAUAAAUAUAAUUAACAUAGUACACCAAGAAACUAGAAUUGAGAUUAUAGAUAAAAUAAUCACAAACAUAAAUCACAUAAUACAAAAGUUUCAGAGAUUGAACGUUUGAACUAUUGAAAUAACUAGAUAGUUACCAACUUAAGUUCUAACUCCGCAACUAGUUGUAUUGGAUAACCAAUUAUAGUAAAAAUCAAAAUUUACUCUUAAAAGUAAGUGUUGAAUUAAAAGAUUUUGUUGUGAUAAGGAUUAUCUAAUGAGAGCAAAUCCAUUGAAACAAACAAGCAACGAUAUCUAGAUAAAUGUCAAUUACAAUCUCGUAUUCAAAUGAAUAUACAUAUCCAAACAAUGCACUUAACGAUAAAGUAAAGAGGUGAGACCCAACACAUUAUUUAAAACACAAACAUUGUUUAGAGUAGUUACACUAGUUAUAUUGGCAAAAUGUAAUUACGUAGUCAGAGCAAAAAUUGGUUUUUCUUUAAGGAUAAAAUAGAAAGUUUGAAAAAUGACAUAAAAAUGUUUACACUAACUACGAUCUCUCUAACUUUAUAUGUUGAAUAGAUAGUAGCUUUUUAAUUAGAAUCAAAAUUAUAGAUGAUUUAUUAGAAACAUAAUUAACAUAGUACUUCAAGAAACUAGAAUCGUGACAUAAUUGACCUAGUAGAUUUUAAUUUAAAUUUAGAAAUUAGAUAAGUAAUCUUAUAUGUAACAUGGUGACUUUUAAAUUAAUAUCGAAUUUGUAGAUGAGUAAUCAUAAACUUAAUUAACAUAGUACUUCAAGAAACUGGAAUUGAGAUUGUAGAUAAAAUAAUCAUAAAUUUUAGAAGAAAAUACUCUCCUUUUUGAAUAAUAAAAAAUUUAGAGUAGCAAGUAUUAAUCUCUUUUCCUUGGUAAUCUUAUUAAUAUUGAAAAAUAUAUAUAAAGAUUAGGAGGGGGAGUGGGAGUGAGAGAGAGAGAGAGAGAGAGACCUAGAAUGUGUCUUAUGCACUAAUAUAAUAUUAAGUACCAAUCAUUCAUUGACUUUUCUUUUUCUUUACUUACAAUUGAUUAUUAAUUCAUUUUGCAUACUCUCAAAACAUUAAGUUUAAAAAAAUUACUCAUGGUUUGGCGAUUGCAUCGCACAUUUCAUGAAUUUUCACAAAAAAAUGAUCUACACAAAUUAUGGCAUGCAUCUAGGUAAUUAGUGUAUACACUAUCAAUUUAAUUUAGAUUAGUCUUUUUUUAUACCAUCCAUCCAAUAUUUGGGAGCAUCACUAAGUGUUGUUAAUACACAUUUUUCAUCUUUUAAAUUCCUUUUGUAUCUUACUAUUAAGAGUAUUUAAUUUUUCCUCACAUAUAUAAAAAUUAUGGUUUCUUGAGUAGUUUUGUUAAUUAAUUAUUUACUAGUUACUCGCCCUCCUUUCUGUCCCUUUCUUUUUUUUAAGCACUUCAUUUGUAAAAUUUCAAUUAAUGUUAGUAAUUAGCAAAUAAGUAAAUACCGUACAAAAAUCAUCAUAUUAUAAAAAUUCUUUUACAAAUUAAAUUUCAAAUUCAAAAACCAAUUGUCAUGAAAAAAUACAUUUUUAAAUGACCAUAAAAUUAAUUACUUCUACAUACAUAGGGAAACUUAAUGCAACAAUGGUACGAAUUUAAGUGAUUCUUUGACUUUUGUUCUUUUAUUUAUUUAUUGCUUAAGUUUAUCAAUUAUUGAUCCAUUUUUCACUCUCUUAUAAUAUUCUACUUGUUUGGAUUGUAAGUUAUUUGGAAUAUUUUUACUGUAACACUUUUUAUGACGUGAUGUAUGUGAGAUAAAAAGCUAAUUGGGAAGAUAAAAAGAUAUAUUAAAAAUUAUAAUAAUGAUGUAAGCAAAUAAAAUUGAAAAAAUAAUACUUAAUCCAAACAAACCUUAUUAAGUUUAAAAGAGUUAGCAUCUAUACCAACCAAUUUAUAUCGAUAUUGUUGUCCACUACUUCAGGUAAUAUAAACUUUGCCGGUUACCUUUGGCCCUUGUCAUCUUAGCAAUAGUUGAUCUGACUUUCCACCAUAGAAGCAACCCUACCUCAACAAUAAUGGAAUUAGCUGCCACGCACGUACGUACCUAUGCAUGAAAACUGACUUCAUAGCUUUAUAGCUGUCCCCUCCGUGAAUAUGAAUAUGAAUCAGAAUCUGAAUCAGUCACUCAGGACUUUAUUAUCUCUGAACGAACGCCCAUAAACAGCCCCUGAAACACUAAAUUCUGGCAGCUGCUCUUUGUCGUGAUGCCAAAAAUGGUCCUUGGAACAUUAAUUACGUGAAACACUACAUUCUGGCAGCUGCAGCUCUAGCUCUCUGUCGAAGAUGCCAAAAAAAAUUAUCCUGGCCUACUUAAAUCAAUUUUGAACCAAUUAAUUUGCAUCAAAUUCCAUGACUUGCAUUUUUCUCUCGAUUUUUUUAUGAAACUCUUUAGAUUUAUUCCUCUCUUUGAAUAUAAAAUAAAUUUUAUCGUGUUUGAUAAAAAAAAUUUAAAUCAAUUUUGUUUUAACUCUCUGUCUAAUCUUCAAGGAUGCCGUGUCACGACUAUCGCUGUGCUUCCUCUCUCCUCUCCGCCAUGUCUGAACUCUGAAGUCUCAACUCCUCCUUUCCUCACUUUCAGUUUCAACCACAAGUCACAAGGCUUCAACAACCUACCACUCUCAUCUCCUCCUCCUCAUCAUCAGGCCUGAGAAUUCUUCCUUUUUUUUUUUUUUUUCCCUUAUCUUCUUUGUCCUCCAGAAGCCCACUUUAAUAUAUAUUUUUUUGGUAAGUAGCCCACUUUAAUUAGUAUUAUCCUCACGAUAAGUUAGAUGUUUGAACAGACCAUAUUAUUUUGGAAUGCAUUUUUAAAUUAAAGGAAUUAAAAUUAAAUCGAUGAUCUUACAUCAAAGAGAUUUGUCCCAAAAAUAUAUAUAUAUAUAUAUGGGAUGGGGAAGUCGAUUUGGCUUAUAGCAAUAAAAUACUCCUACAAACUUGUCGGUGGUUGGUUGAAAGUUGAAAUAUCUGGCAGAUAUAAUUUGCAGAUAUGUUUGUGUGUCCUCUGAGUGAGAAAGAGCAGGAGAAGGAUGGAGAAACAAUAGGAAGCAAAGUUGGAGGGCUGGGGACUAGCUAAGAUUGGUGGAGAAGGUGAUGAUGGUGUUCGGUAGUUGGCAAGGAUUGAGUUAAAGUGCAUUGUGGAGGAAGUCUCAACCAAUUUAUCGUGCUUCCUCUUUCCUCUCCGCCAUGUCUGAAGUCUCAACUCCUCCUUUCCUCACUUUCAGUUUCAACCACAAGUCACAAGGCUUCAACAACCUACUACUCACAAGGAGGUUGAUGUUUGAACAGACCAUAUUAUUUUGGAAUGCAUUUUUAAAUUAAAGGAAUUAAAAUUAAAUCGAUGAUCUUACAUCAAAGAGAUUUGUCCCAAAAUAUAUAUAUAUAUGGGAUGGCGAAGUCGAUUUGGCUUAUAGCAAUAAAAUACUCCUAAGAUUGGUGGAGAAGGUGAUGAUGGUGUUCGGUAGUUGGCAAGGAUUGAGUUUAAGUGCAUUGUGGAGGAAGGAACGAUCAUCAAAGUUUUCCGACUCCAAAUGGUGUCGUUUAGUUUUAAAGCGAAAACCUUGGGCAGGACGUUCUGUGUCCGUCCGUCCAAAUGGGGUGAAAGUUCUCGCGGGGUAUAAGCCUCACAAAUUUUUAUUUUUAAAUAUUUUAAAAAUAUAAAAAUACACACACAGACACACACAUAUAUAUACAUGUGUGUAUGUAUAAUAUUAAAAAUACCCAAAAAGAUAAAGAAAAAUUAUAACCUUACGUGACUAAAAUAAAACCUGCUUGUGUAACUAAUGUCAUCCCAUGAACAGAAACCCAACAAACCAUUGUAAAGUUCGAUGAUUAUUUGUAUAAAAAACUUGUUGUCAUCCUGCAAACUAAUGAUUACAGUUGCGAAAAUCCUUUUCUAGGUACCUGUGAGUUUUGACUAUCAAAGCAAGUGUCUUUCUCCUAUUUCUUUAGAGUAUCCUCAAUGUGAGGCACAAAGUCUUGCGAAAACUCUUUGUAUCACUAAAUUCCAAACUGAUAUCCAUGUUUGCCAACUUAAAUUUAUAGGCUGAUCUAAGAAAAGUUUUCAGAAAUUGCAAGUUCAGUUUGAGGGUUUCAACUUCUUUUAGGCAAGUGAAGGGAAAAUCCAGUUUGGAUGUUUUUCUGAAACUUUAAAAAAAGGGAAAAAGUACUGGGAUUUUAAAUGUAUAUAUUUUUUACGCCUCAAAAAAAAAAAAACUCCUUAUCAUUACUUCCUUAUCUAUAUCCUACUUUUCCAUUCUUUUUUUCAACAAUUAAUUAUCUUCCUUUUUUCACUUUCUUAGUUAUAGCAACUUUUAAUGAAUUGUAUAUGAGCCAUUCUAUGUAUGUAAAUUGUGUUCAUGAAUCAUCAAUAUCCGUCAAUAUUUCUACAAAUUUAUUGCACAAAAUGUUUACUACAAUUUUUUAGAUCUUCAAACUAAAUUCUUUUGCAUCUUCAAAAACAAAAUCUUUACUUUAAUUUUAUAAUUACCAAAAGUAAUUUUCAAAUUAACAGAAUCUUUCAACAAAUUAUUUGUACUCCCGCUGAAGUAACGGUUAAGAACUAGUACAAUUCAUGUUCUUCUUGUUUAAUUUUCACCACACCUCCACAUAUAAAUUUGAGAAGCAGAUUGGAUGACAAUUUUUGAAGUCAAUUUUUGAAGCUAUGCAUGCAUCCAUCAAAACGGUGUCCAUUUACUCGUAAACUUUUCAAAGUCUUAUAAUUAAUUUCGUUGAAUUAAAUGAAUUGUAUGAUGCAAUUGCAGAGAAUCUCCAUCCAAUUGGAAACAUUUUCCAGACUACGUGUAUACAAUUAAUCCAUCGUUUGGAAUUUUGUACCUCAAUCAUACACGGAAUUUUGAAUUUAACGUCAUUGCCCAAUACAUGGAAUUUUGAUCUAUUCUUUUUUCUUGAAGGCAACACUUUUUGAUGUCACAUUAAUGUCAAAGAACGUCUUCAUUGGAGAGAGAAAUUUGGAUUAGCUGGAAAAAGUCAAAAAAGAAAAAAGAGUUUCAUACAUACAUGAUACAUCUCCUUUGGGAGAAACUAAUAGAGGUCAUCCAAUUAAGGUGUUUGUCACGCUACAUGUAACUCACUUUAUGUAUAAAUGCUUUUGAAUGCUCAAAUAUCUUAUUCUCAUGCUUUAGAAUUUGUUAUUCUCAUGGAAAACUCUUGUUUGGAUUGUAUUUUUUUGGAUUUUUUUAUUAAAAAAUUACUGUAACGAUUUGAUAUAUGUGAAAUAAAAAGAUGAUUGAAAAAUGUGUUUACGGAAUAUGUAGCAAUUUUUUUUUUGAAAUUGCUCUCCAAACAUUGAAAAAAAAAAAAAGAAAUUGCAGUGUAUUCCUCGCUACACAGUGUAUUCCUCGCUUCAUUUUUCUGGUGUUUGUUUAACUUUUGAAAUAUUUUCACUUUUAUCUCUAUCUUUACUUUCUACACAUUAUAACUACAUACUUCUUCUCAUGCAAAAUAAGAAAAUUUAUCUCAUUGUUUAACUUUAAAAAAUCUUGGAGAAAUGUAUAUAUGAAUAAAAAAUAUCUCCUUAAGUAAUAAACAAAUUGCUGGCCAUUUAGUAUCAAAUAUCAAUCACAUGCAAUGCUUAUUGUGACAUAUAUCUUGCACUCUCACUGCUGAAAGUUUUUCUAGAAAAGAAUGUCCAUAUUAUACAUAAUUAAUUACUAGCAUAGGAUGGGCAGGAUGAGGUUUUUUUUUUUAUUUUGAAUAUACUAGGGGAGGGUUGGGUUGGGUUGGGUGGUACGGGGGAGGAAGUGUAAGGAAGAGGUCUUGGGUUCAGUAAGUUUGGAAGGGAAGUUGUUUUCCAUAAGAUGAGUGAACAUAUUUUACAUAAUAAAAUGUUUUCAGUAACUUUUGUGCAACCAAACACGGGAAAUUAGGAAAAUAUUUUCACCCGAAACAAACGGACCCUACAUGUAACUCACUUUAUGUAUAAAUGCUUUUUGAAUGCUCAAAUAUCUUAUUCAACGAUGUAAACUUUUGAAUGAUCAAAUUUUAAUAAGGAACAAGUACAUAAAAAAAGAAAAAUCAAAGUCUGUACAAAUAUUUUUUUUUUUCACAAAGUGUGCACCAUUUUUGGUAACCAUCCAACACGCAUUGCGGACUUUUUUUUUUAAGUAUUAAUUUUGUCCCUCAUGCUUUAGAAUUUGUUAUUCUCAUGGAAAAUUCUUGUUUGGAUUGUAUUUUUCUGGAUUUUUUUUAUAGAAAAAUUACUGUAACGAUUUGAUAUAUGUGAAGUAAAAAGAUGAUUGAAAAAUAUGUUUACGGAAUAUGUAGCAAUUUUCCUUUGAAAUUGCUCUCCAAACAUUGAAAAAAAAAAAAGAAAUUGCUCUCCAAACAAGGCCUUAGAUCUUAACGUUGCUUACUUCUUUAACGUUGACCUAUCAACUUUAAGUUAUGUGACAAAUUUCCAAUCCUUUUAGUGAUUUUAUGCCAAACAAUUUUAAAUUAAUUUAGAUUACAAAAGAGAGGAUCGUAAAUCAAAAGGUCAAUUUCACAACUAAUUGUUCACUGAUUUUACGGCAAACAAUUUUAAAUUAAUUUAGAUUACAAAAGAGAGGAUCGUAAAUUGAAAAAUCAAUUUCACAACUAAUUGAUAGAGAAUCAAAAUUUCCAUGAAUUCAGCACAAAUUUUCCACAUGAUGGAUGGACUAGACCCAACACGUCGGUGAAAUUUCUACCCAACUUGGAGCAUUAUAUGUGGCCGUCGAGAUUUAUUUUGGCUUUCUUUGCUUCUCCUAAUUUUAAAUGUAUAUUUGAAAUUCUUGAUCUGUUUAUUUUUCUUUUAGCCUCAAUCUUUUUAUAGUUUGAAAACCACCCAAACUUUUUUGUUUAUUAAAAAUUUAUCAAGUCAGAAUAAAAAGAGUUUAUCGAGUCUCAUUGAAUGUGUUAAACAAGGUUUUCACGACAUAAAGAAGUACAUAUAUACACAACUAUAAAUUAAUGUUGUAUACAUUAUUACUGUAAAAAAAAAAAAAAUUUUCUAACAGGUGUAACUAUAUGAUAUAUGAGCAAAAAUUGAAUUUAAAAUUUAAACAGUGAUAAUAUGAUAUUUAUCUAAACCUACUUGUAUAAAAAAAAAAUUUAUACGCUCCAUAUAAACAAUGUAAAGAGUUUUCAUGAAACAAAGUCAAAAAAUUUUUUUAAUUGAAGAACAAUCGCAAGCUCAUCUACGUAGCAAAGUGUGUGGAGCCUAUUUUGUAAGUUAUCAAUUUUUGAUUGGUUUAUUCUUGGACAUGGAUUAAUCCAACCAUAAGUGUGUGGAUCCCAUAUUUUGCAUGUCAUCAAUUUUUGGUUGGUUUUAUUCUUGGACAUGGACCAGUCCAACCAGCCAUUAACUAAGCGGUCCAUACCAAUAAUUCUGGGUAAAUCUUUUUUUUUUUUUUUUUAGCAUGUGCUUUUUUUGAUGAAAAAGAUAGACACAUUUUAUUAAUGAUGUUACAGGAAAUCGUUCAUGAGUUGCUUGACAAAAUUUGGAAGGGAAUUUCAAAGAGCUUAAAAAAGAUUAGCACUCUUAGCAUGAUGGGUUAAAGUAUGAGCUGCCUUAAUUCGCUUCUCCUGGAAUCCAUUGAUUCAUUGAAUAUCAAUACAAAGCUGAUCUAAUAAUGCUAAAUGCACGUCCUCAAUAAUUGGACCUGAAUCAGACACGAUGUCUUCUUUGUCCUGUCUUCUUUGCCAUGAAUAAAUCUUAUAAUUGAGGCUGCAUCUCCCUGCAAUUUUGGAUCAUUUGUGGGCCUCAAAAUCAAAUAAUUCCAGGGAACAUCAGAAGUCAAUCGGAACGAAUAUCACAAUGGACUUGAUUGGAACGAAAAUGCCUCACCAAUCCCACAAUCCAUUCCAGUUGAAGUUAAGAUCAGCAAUAUCGUUAAUUAGCCCCUUAAGCUUUGUUUAAUCAUAGCUUACGCCUAUUGUCUUACAUCUGAAGCAGAUACUCUUUUGGUUUUUUCAUCUUAAGCAGAUACCAUUUGCUAUAUCGCAGUCAAUUAAAUAGUUAAACCAUUUGCUUGCUAGACUGACGAGGGAAAUUAACAAUAUAAACCACUGAACAGAAAAUCUUUUUUUUUUUUUUUUUAUAAUAAAAUAGAAUAAUUUUAUUAAUCAUGAGAUUGAAUCUACAACAAGUGCAGAACAAAUAAAAGAUGGAGGAGAGUUUCUCCAUAUACAAGAAUCUGAAAAAUUAAUAGCAUACUUAGCAAAGUUAUGAGCAGGAACAUUAAACAACCUAGAAAUCCACGAAACUUCCCAACACAUGAACUCUUGACAUAAGACAAUGGUAUCAUCAAUCAACAAGCCACAUGAUGAAUCAUCAGAUUCCAAACGGUUCAGCAUUUUGAUGACUUUUUGUGAAUCUCCUUCCAAAACCAUUUUAUUGAAACCCAAAGAUUGUAGUAAUUGAGCCGCAUGUUUGGCCGCAUAUGAUUCAACCACAUUUGGUUCCAAUAUCCCAAGAAUUUUCUUGGAGAGGCCAGCAAUGAAACUUCCUGUAUCAUCUCGAAUAAUAACACCAACUCCUGAUGAUUUAUCAUCCAUAAACACAGUUCCAUCAAAGUUUGCCUUAACAAAACCUGCAUUGGGUCGUAUCCAAUGACCUAUUGAUAACCUUGAUUGAAGAGAGGUAGACGUAUCGCACUUAUCUUUGGAAUUUGUUUCAUGGAAUUGAUUUAGGAAUGCUAUGGACAGGGAGACCAAGCUAAGAGGAUCUCUGUAGGGCCCAUCAAAGAUUGCUCCAUUUCGAUUAUUCCAUAAAUUCCAAAGAAUAACACCUACCAAUUCCAUCUCUUUGCUUGAUAGUUGCCAAAGCUGGUUGGGAAGCCAAGACGUAACCUGAUCAGCCGAUUGCAAUUGAACUUUCUGGCUUAAGAAACUAAGUGCCCACGAUUGCACAGCUACAGGACAAGUUAAGAAGGUAUGAUCAAUAUCAUCAACUGGAGCGAGACAUAAAGGGCAAGAUGUAUCUAAAUGGAGCCCUUUAGUAUUGAGUUUUGUGCUGGUUGGUAGUAUAUCUUUACAAGCCCUCCAUAAGAAAAUUUUAAUUUUCUCAGGAAGAUUCAAGUGCCAAAGCCGAGACCAAACACUGUGCUUUAGAGUACUACUACUUGAUGGCAAAUUCUCCCAAUUAGAAGAUCGCUGCUUGAUCAAGUGAUACGCACUCAUCAUAGUAAAAGAUCCAUUCUUUGAAAAGUGCCAAAUUAGCUUAUCUCUAUUGUGAGUGUCUCCAAUUGGAAUGCUUUGAAUUAACUCAAUCUCCUCGGGCCAAAAAAAUUCUUGCAAUAAGUCAACUCGCCAAAUCUUUCGCUCUUAAUCUAUUAGGCAAUCAACUGUGGAAUUCUCCGGCAAUGCAGUAGACCGCGACACGAUUUUAAAAGUAGAUGGCCGUGGAAGCUACCUAUCUUUCCAGAUUUUGAUAGACUGGCCAGAACCAACUCGCCAUCUGCUUCCUGCUUCAAUAUACUUCCUGACCUCACAUAGUCCGCGCCAAGACUAGGAAGGCCGUGAUCCUUCUUGAACUUGGAAGAAAUCAGUAUUUGGAAAAUAUUUAGUUUUAUAUACCCGAUGAAGAAGGAUAGAUGGUUGUGUAGCAAUACGACCACUGAACAGAAAAUCUAGCAUUUAUAUUAAAUAAAAGAAUUUUACUGAUGCAUAUUAUUUGCUGCAAUCCUUAAACCAUCCAAGCCUAAGAAUUUAAAAUAAAAGGUCUACAUGAAUAAAAUAAAAGAUUGGAGAUUAAAGAUGCUUUAGAAAAAAAAAAGGGGGUUAAUUUAAAGGACUAAAUGAACUACUUGCAAAUUUUUUUUGUCCUUCCAGGUUAAAUGAUUUGUCGUUAAUGGUAUUGAAAUAGUUAAAAAUUAAAAUUAUUGGGACUAAAUGUAUUUUCAUAAAACUUUAAAAGGAGAAAAUGGUGUAACCCCAUAAGUUAGAGGUAUAAAGUGUCAUCUUUUCCAUUUGUAAAAUUUUCAAUUGGUUUGCUGAUUUUCUGUCAAAUAUUUUUACAUUAAUUUGUUUUUCUAUAUGCUGACAAUACAUACUAUCAAAGUCGGAUACAUGACAACUGAUAUGAAUUUGAGUUUGAAAUAUAAAUAUUUUGCAUAUGUAGUAUGCAUCAAACUCCGUUAACGUAUACACUAUUCGGGUACAAAAGAUUAAUCAUAAUUUAAAUUUCAAACGAGAGUGUCGAAGUUGUAGGAUAACGUGAAUCAGCAAAUCAAUUUAACAACUAGCUGCUGCCAAGGAAUCAACAUUUCCAUUAGUUGAAUGCAGAAUAUGUCUCCACAAGAAUAUCUUGAUUUUCCACGGCGGGUCAUUGUCCAGUGCGUAGGACCCAAAAAAAUUCCAAUGGAAAGUUAUAGGUGACAAAUUUCAUAGAACCAAUGUAGAUGGGGAGGCAAAUUUCACACACACAAAUAUGCAUAGGGGAAGAGGAAUAAAUCAGUAAUAUAUUAUUAAUUACACAAAAUAAUAUGGUUCUCAAAUUUCAUUCUUCUCAACUAAUACUAAUAAUAAUAAGACUAGACUAGGUAAUUUGGUAAACAAGUCUUACAAUCACAAGAAAUUUUCUAAUAAAAUACUAAUUUCUAAACAAUAAAACUACUAUAAUUUAAAUCAAACAGAAUUACCAAAACCAUAACAUAAAAUAUUGCUAAAUAAUAAUAUGAAAAUUUCUAUUUUUUAACCUUGAUUUAACAUUGUCGGACACAACACGUUGUCAAGUUAUCUGCAUAACUUAAUCAAGUUUGUUUACUAGUCUUCUUGUCUAAAUGUCGCGUCAUCUUAAUCCAGAUCGGCAGAUUGAAUGACCAGAAUCAAGAUAUUAUCAGUUAAGUCAAGACAUUACUAGGUUGCCUAUCUAACCACCACCACGUUAGAAAAACAAAUUUUAGCAAAGUUAUUCUGUCUUCCAAUAACCCUUUAUCAUUUUUCUCCUAAGCAUAGUGUAUUUUGUUGCACGUUCGAUGACAAAUCGGAAACGAAUAUGCGAAUGCAAACAUAAACCAGAAUUAACUUGUAAAACAAAAGCUACUCACCUCAAAUUAUUGAUUUCAUGCUAGUCUUCGGAAUCCCAUUAUCUAUUUUUUCCAGUUCAUAUCACCAAUCUGUGAGUAUAUUUCCAAUUCAAUCCCUUUUGGAUCGUUUAUGUGUCCCAAUCAAAUAAUGCACCGGAUUUAGCCGUCAGAAUGAGCUUAGAUUAAAAUGCAAAUGCCUCGCCAACUCCAUGAUCCAUAUCCAUUAAAAGAGCUGAAGAUAAGAAAAGUAGAAGAAUAUUGUUAAUUUUGCAUCUUAAGUAGAUUGCUUUUCCUAUAUCGUAGUCAGUUAAAACACUUAAUCUUCACUGGCUCGACUUUUCCAUGAAGACUUUCCGGUCGUCGGCAUUUUAUCACUUUCAUGUAGUUCUUCAAACGCAGAAUGGUGAAAUGAUGCUUUUAAACGUGUUUAAAUGAAACUGCUAAUCUAACCAUACUUUGUCAAAUAAACCAAUAUCAAAAGAAAUCCAAUGGAGCAUCAUCUUCUUUGUACUCCUUCGUCUAUGCUAAUACUGUUGUUAUUCAGUUCUAUUCUUGUGACCAGCCAGUUCUCGUUUGGGAGCAGCAAACAAGCUUAUAAUUAUUCAAAUUUCUCUUGUAUUGAGAGUGAAUGACAAGCUCUUCUUCAAUUCAGAGAUGGGUUAACAGAUGAAUCAAAUCAUCUGUCAUCUUGGAUAGGAGAAAACUGUUGUUCAUGGAAAGGCGUUGGUUACCAUCAAAUCACUGACCGUCUGGUGAAAUUUGAUCUACACAAUGCGAGCCCGUUACGUUCAAAUGAUAUAUUUAUUUACUGAAAAAAUUGCUUGGGAGGCCAAUUAAGUCCAUUUUUGGUCAAUUUAACCAAUUUGCGACACCUAAAUUGAAGCUGGAAUAAUUUUUCAGGAAUCCAAGUUCCCACGUUCCUUGGAUUGUUGAAAAACUUGAGAUACUUAAAUCUCCUGAAUGCAGUGUUCGACGGUGAAAUUCUAGGCCAUCCAGGAAAUCUCUCAUGUUUACAGCAUUUAGAACUUGGAGGUGUAACUCCAUUCUCAAUAAAAAAAAAAUAGAGCUUAGAGAAUCCGUAAAAUAUUCAAUUUAUUUGGUGAUUUCUUGCAGGAAACUCCCAUGUUAAUUUAACUGCAAAAGAGAGGAUCAAAACUUAUUUGUGUAGCAACGUAAAUCAGUAAACAGUUCAUCAAUAUUAUGAUUGCCAAUGCGAUACUUGUCGCCUUCCUGUUACAAGUCUCUUUCCAACGGGGAAAACCUACAGCAUAAAUGUCCAAUUAAUUCAUAAAUCAGAAUUAACUUGUAAUUGCAAUUAUAAGCCGCUCGUCUCAAAUUCUGAUUAGUUUCGUCCUAUUCUUCAGAAUCCCAUUGGAUAAACUCUAUCAUUCCCAUCCAUACAAAGUUGUGUGCUUAGAUUUGCUUUCUCAUCUGAAUUACAGGUCAAUCCGCCGUCACAAUGGGACUUGAUUAGAACGCAAAUGCCUCACCAACCAUAUUCCCAUUGAAGUCACCGUAAUCCAUUCCCGUUGAAGUCAAGAUUAGCAAUAUCGUUAAUUAGCCCCUUCAGCUUUGUUUAAUCAUAGCUUACCAUUGUUGCUUUGUACAUCUUAAGCAGAUGCCUUUUACCAUAUCAUAGUCAAUUAAAUCGUUAAGAGUAAAACUGAUAGUGUAUAUAUCAUCGUCGUUGAAUGCAUGAUAUAUAAUUAAAAUUCAAAUUUUAAAUUCAAAUUUACAUUACUUAUCAUUCAUCCAAGGUUGGUUGACAGGAUAUAUUCCAUCAGUGUAUAAAAGGUUAACCCCAUAGUUAUAUCGUUUCCUUGCUAGACUGUCUGAUGAGGGAAAUUAACAAUAUAAUCCACGAAACAGAAAAGCUAGCACUUAUAUACAUAAAAAAAAUGAAACAGUAGAAGUUGUUUUGGUGGGGAGGGGUGUUGGGUGGGGGGGAGUGAGUGUUUAAGAAAGUUAGAAAAAAAGGGGAAAGAGUAAACAUAUCUAACAAAUAAACAUAAAUUGGAAGAAAGUAAAGGUCAGUUUCUGUUUUAACAAGAACAGUUAAAAUUUUGUUCACGCCCUUUAACGCCACUGAAGGAAGUAAGACAAGAGCAGCUUUGGUAAGAGAAAAAAAUAAAAGGGCUAAAUGGAUGAAAUCAAAGAUUGGAGAUUAAAGAUACUUUGGAUUAAAAAAAAAAGUUAAACUACUAAAUGAACUACUUGCAAAACUUUUUUUUCCCUUCCAAAUUAAUUGAUUUGUCAUUCAUGGUAUUGAAAUAGUUAAAAAUUAAAAAUAUAGUGAAUAACUAUAUUUUUCAAUUGGUUUUGUGAUUUUUUGUCAAGCAUUUUUAUAUUAAAGAAUCUUUUGUACAUUAAUAAUGGAUACUAUCAAGAUUGGAUGCAUGAUAACCGAUAAGAAUUUGAAUUUAAAAUCUAAGUUUUGCAAAUGCAACAAUCAUUAAACUCCAUUAUCCUCUAUAUUAUCAGUUUAUAAAAGAUUAAUCGUAAUUAAUUUAAAUUACAAAUGACAGCGUUGAAAUCGUGUGAUAACGUGAAUCAGCAAAUGAAUUUUACAACCAGCUGCUGAGGAAUGAACAUUUCCAUUAGUUGAGUGCAGAAUAAGUCUCCAAGGAGAUUUUUUUCCAGAAGAAUAUCUUGAUUUUCCACGGCGGAUCGGGACUUCCAUUGGCCAGUGGACUUGCAGUCGUCGGAUGCAACAGACGGUCAAGUUUUCUACGCAAAUUAAUCAUGUUUGUUUACUAGUCUUCUUAUUUAAAUUUCAUUUCAUCUAAAUCUAUAUCAGCAGAUUGAAUGACUAGACUCUUAAAAGAUAGGAAAAUAUUGUAGUAACUAUCGUUAUGGUAACUAAAUAAUUUUUUCCUGAUAUAACGGGUUAUUAUACUUUUAACGAUCAUUUGAUUACCUGUUGGACCUAUCCACCUAAAUAGGAUAAUGCCUAAAACUAAGGAAGUAAGUUUCUCAUCUAAAAUAGUAAGUUAACCAUAAUAAUUAGUAACUUUUGUGUCUCAAAAGGUAAAUUGGAAUAAAUAUAAAACUUACUUUUUAAAGAGAUAAAUUACUAUAUUAUAUCUCAAACAUACUUUUGAGAGAGUAAGUUUAGUUCAAGUAAUAGUAAGUUUUUAUACAUAAAUAGUAAUUCUUACUUAUAACAUAUUAAAUUUGAUUAAUGACCAAAACUUACUAAUUUAUGGCACAAAUGUACUAUUUGGCUUAAAAAACUUAUAACAAACCAAUACUAGGAAGUUUAUUUGAAAUAACAAUAAAAUGUUUUAUUAAUGAUUAAAUCUUAGUACCUUAGUUAGUAAGUACUCGUAAUAUACUUGUAUAAUACAUGAUUAUAUGUAUAAUUUAAAUUUUUUUGUAUUUAUAUAUUUUAAAAUACUAUGAAAAAUAUUUGGACCCUUCACAUAACCUUAUAAAAUAAUAAAAUUUUGUCGUAUUAUAAUUUUGAAUAAUUUUUGAAAAUUUUCAAAGUUUGGAUAAUAAUAACAACACAUCUUCCUAGUUAUAUAUGGAAUAUCACUUAUCUAUGUAAUUUCUAUAAUUUAAAACCUAUUAAUAUAAUAAGAUGACAAAGUUUUAAUAUAUUUAUUGUCUGGGACACAAGAAAUAAUAAGAAUUAAACUUGUAUUAAUAUAGACCUAACAAAAAGAGAGAAAUAGUGUAACAAUUAAUACAACAAUAAAAAUAACAUAAUUAGUAUAACAAAAUUAGUAUAAUCUGGAAUUUUUUUCUCUGGAGAUUACUCACGAAUAUAAGAUCCAACCACUAAACAAAAAUCACAUGCAUAUAUAAUCUAUUGUAUAAUUUAAAUUAAAUUUAGUUCAUGUACAAAAUGAUCCUAAAAUAAUUAGCACACUACAAUACCAUAUUAUUUUAACAAAAAAGUUUUUUUUUUGCCAAAAGUCUCCAAUAUCCAUGACAUAUGUAUGAGAGAUAUUUUACCAUAUUUUUAUCUCUCUUUUUUUCCCAUAUUUGUAUCUCAUGUCUAAUCAUUGAUGUUAAUUUGAGGAAGAAUAUUAUGUAUAAUAAAAUUAUUUUGAAUUUAAUUAACAAGUUGAGAUUUUUUUAAAAAUAAAAGUGAAAUAUUUUGGGAACUUAUUUUUUGUUUUCCCAAAAUUAAAAGAUUGCAAUUUUUUACAAAUUGUUGCCAUAACAUUUCAUUUUCUAGACUAAUUUUUAUCAAUGUAAAAUUAGUUUAGUUAACAAUAAUUGAAGUUUUGUUGGUCCGAGGAUUGGCAUGCUAUUGUUGUUAUUUUACAUGUAAAUAUAUUACCUAAGUAAUAAAAUAAACAAUAGCUACUUAAAAAAAGGAAAUAGGUGCUCAAUUGAUUGCAUUCAAACUACGAAUUCUGUUAAUGAAUAAUUGCUAAAUUAUAAUUUUAUUUACAAGGAAUCAAUAUGCAUCAUAUAUUGACCAGGACUAAAUUACUGAUUACUUAACAAAUUAUAUCUAAACACAUGAUGUGAUGUAUAUUGCAUUUGGUCACCUUUAUACUCAUACCAUUUUCUUUUCUUCCUAUUUAUAUUUUAAAAGUGCAAAAUUCUCUUGAUUAUAUUAGUGAAAAUGCAUAAAAUCUUUUACAAAAUUAUUUCAAUUUAUUUACAAAAUAUUAGUACUUUUAUAGAAACAAUGCAUUGUAGGAAUGGUUUACUAAUUUUUUAGUAAACAUAACUAUUGCAUUAAAAAGUUAAAAAAAACUUGAUUUUAUUAUGCUUUAAUUAGGAGUGCUUUUGAAGAAAAGAAUUUGGGGAUUAAUUUCUCUGAUUCAAGAAUUUUUAGAGAUUGUAAUGAUCAAAAGAAAAAGAAUUUUUAGAAAUUGUAACUCUCUUAUUAUUUGAUAUAAUAAAUUUGAUAUUUGUGCAAGUUUUCAUGUCUUUUUAUUUUCGGCAAUGAAAUUUGUGCUUACAGUUAAAUACAAUUAUGGUAAAAUAUCCCUCAUAUGUAUGUCAUGGAUAUUUGAGACUUUCAGUAAAAAAAUUUUUUGUUGUUCCGUUUGGAUUGGUUAUUUUUUUAAAAACAAGUUUUUCAAAUACAAUGUUAUGGUAAUACACAAUAACUCAAAAAAUAUCUUAUCCAUACAAUAUAUCAAAAAUUUCAAAAAAAAUUUUAUAGUAAAAAUUUUUCAUAUACAUUGUUACAGUAAAAUUUUUCAAAAACACCUCUAAAAACAGUUAAUCGAAACGGAUUAAUAUUAUAGUGCGCUAAUUAUUUUAGAACCGUUUUUUACGUGAACUGAAUUUAAUUUAAAUUAUACAAUAGAUUAUAUGUGCAAGUGAUUUUCAUUUAAUUGUUGGAUCUUUUUUUUUUAUGAACAAUCUCCCAAGGAAAAAAGUCCAGAUCAUACUGAUUUUCUUAUAUUAACUGUUAUACUAAUUUUGUCAUUUUUAUUGUUAUACUAUUUCUCAUUUUGUUUGGGUUUUAACUCUUAUUAAUUCUUGUGUCCCAGAUGUAAAUUUAUUAAAACUUUAUCAUCUUAUUAUAUUCAUAGGUGUUAAAUUAUAAAAAUUGUGAUAUACAAACAAGUGAUAUUCUAUAUUUAACUAGGAAGAUUUGUUGUUAUUGUUAUCCAAACUUUUAAACUUUUCAAAAAUUGAAAAUUGAAAAUGAUUAAAAACUUAUAAUAUGACAAAAUUUUAUUAUAUAUUUUACAAGAUUAUCUAAAAAAUGAAACUACUUUUCAUAGUAUUUUAAAAUAUAUAAAUACAAAAAAAUUUUAAAUUAUACAUAUAAUCAUUUAUUAUACAAGUAUAUUACGAGUACUUAAUAACUAAGGUACUAAGUUUUAAUUAUUAAUAAAACAUCUUAUCAUUAUUUCAAUUAAACUUCCUAAUACUAGUUUGAGAUAAGUUUUUAAUGUAAAAUUGUACAUGUAUUCCAAAAAUUAGUAAGUUUUGAUCAUUAAUCAAAUUUACCAUGUUAUUAGUAAAAAUUACUAUUAUGUAUAAAAACUUAUUGUUAGUUGAACUAAACUUACUCUCUAAAAAGUAAGUUUGGAAUAUAAAGUAGUAAUUUAUUUAUUUAAGAAAUAAGUUUAAUAUUUAUUCCAAUUUACCUUUUGAGGUAUAAAAAUUACUAAUCUAUUAAUGUUAACUUACUAUUUUAGAUGGGAAACUUACUUCCAUAUUUUUAGGUGUUAUCCUAUUUAGGUGGAUAGGUCCAAUAAGUAAUCAAAUGGUCGCCAAAAGUGCAACAACCUGUUAUAUUAGAUAAAAACUAUUUCGUUACCAUAACUAUCGUUACUAAAGCAUUGUCUUAUCAGCUCAAGUCAAGAUUAGCUUGUCUAUCUAGCCUACUCCAUUUUUAAUUUCAUGCUAGUCUUCGGACUCCCAUAAUCUAUCUUUCCAGUUCCUAUCACCCAUCUGUGAUUAUAUUUCCAAUUCAAUCUUUUUUCGAUCAUUUGUGGGUCCCAAUCAAAUAAUGCCUCACCAACUCCAUGGUCCAUACCCAUUAAAAAAGAAUAUCGUUAGCUAGCCUCUUGAGGUUGUUUAAUCACAAGAAAAGUAAAAAGGUUCUUUUGCAUCUUAUUGAGAUAAUUUUGUGUCCGUGACCCUAAACCCUAAGCCCUAAAAGAUCGUUAGCUAGCCUUUUGAGGUUGUUUAAUCACAAGAAAAGUAAAAAGGUUCUUUUGCAUCUUAUUGAGGUAAACUGGUGGAAUUACCUUAGAUUCUAUGUGCGUGUGUUUCUUUGCGCUGUUGAAAGAAAAAGGAAAAUAGGAGAGGAAUGUCAAUGUGAGUAUGGAUUCUUAGUCAAGGCUCUUAAGCUUCCUGCGUUCCCUUUCCCCCAACUCCUUGUUCCUACAUCGAUUAUGAGAGGUGUGUGUGUGUAGGAUUUAAGGUCCGUGAGUUUACCCAGAAGUCAGCAAUUGUAUUUUGGAUAAACUGGUGGAAUUACCUUAGAUUCUGUGUGCGUGUGUUUCUUUGCGCUGUUGAAAGAUAAUUUUGUGGAAAAAGUACUGUAACACUUUUUUGAUAUGAUGUAUGUGAGAUAAAAAGGUGAUUGAAAAAUAUAUUGAUGAUACAAACAAAUCAAUGUGUGUAAAUAAGGUAUAAAUAAAGUGUAAUUUUUUACAAUCCAAACACAUAUUGUAGAUAGUUAAAUACUUGAUUGUUUGCUGGCUCAACUUUUCCACCAAGACUUCCGGUCAUCACAUAGUUUCUUCCAACGCAAAAUGGUGAAAGUGAUGCUUUUAAACUUGUAUAAAUGAACCACUUCUCUGAGCAUACUUUAUCAUAUAGUUCAAUAUCAAAAGCAAUCCAAUGGAGCACUAUCUUCUUGGCACUUCUUUAUCUUUACUACUAGUAAUGUUCUUAUUCAGUUCUAUUCUCGUCACCAGCCAUUUUCCGUUUGGCUGCAGCAAACAAGCUUAUACUCAUUCAAAUGUCUCUUGUAUCGAGAGUGAACGACAAGCUUUUCUUCAAUUCAGAAAUGGGUUGAUAGAUGAAUCGAAUCAUCUGUCAUCUUGGAUAGGAGAAGACUGCUGUUCAUGGGAAGGUAUUGGUUGCCACAAAAACACUGGUCAUGUGGUGAAACUUGAUCUACAAAAUACGAAGCCGUUACACUCAAAUAAUGUAUUUACUUAUUGCAAAAAUUGCUUGGGAGGCCAAUUAAGUCCAUUUUUGGUCAAUUGGACCAAUUUGCAAUACCUGGACUUGAGCAAGAAUAAUUUUUCAGGAAUCCAAGUUCCCACAUUCCUUGGAUUGUUGAAAUACUUGAGAUACUUAAAUCUUGCAAAUGUAGUGUUUGACGGUGAAAUUGUAAUGGUACUAUUAGUUAUGAUCUGAAUAGGCUAAGAAGGUAGAAGGGUGUAGCAGAGAGAACGCAAGGAAGGGGGAAAAUUGUGAGAGAGAAGAGAGGAAAGGAUAGUGUGACAGGAAAGGAAGCUGAAUUUGUUAUAUCUCAUUACAUGCCUUUUCGUCCCCUUUAGGCUUUAUUUAUACAGAAUGCUCCCUCUAGAUCCUUCUGCAACUAGCCAAUCUCAUAACAGAAUGAGCAUACAUACAUGCAUGCCUUUGACAGCUAGCUGACUAACUAAAUAACGGAAAUGCUAACUAACUACCUGAAAAGGAAAGCAUGGCAGAUACAUUUCUGCUCAGAAAUAUCUAGCGAGAAUAUCUAGGGUCAUUACAACACCUCCCCCUUGAGAAUCCUAGUCACUAGGAUUUGAGCUGGAAAUCUGGAAACUGUGAUUGUAUUACCGUGACAUCCUCCCAAGUUGAGUCUUCAGUGCUUAGGUUCACCCAUUUGAUCAACACUUGAGUCACCUUCUGCCUUUUCCUUAUGAUUUCACGAGUAGCAAUCACCCUUUUAGGGGCAAUUUUAAUCUGUCCGUCCGUAGUCGUCAAGGGUAACUCCUGAGUCACAACAUGAUUCUUUGCAGAUGGUUUAAGCAGGGAGACAUGGAAGGUAGGAUGUAUCAAAGAACCAGCAGGUAAUUCCAGUCUGUAGGCCGCAUUCCCCACCUUCUGAAGGACCUUGUAAGGGCCAUAGUAUUUGGAAGAUAACUUCAGAUUUCUUCGGACUGCUACUGAAGUUUGUCUGUAAGGCUGCAAUUUCAAAUAAACCCAGUCUCCUACCUGAAAACUCCUUUCAAUUCUGUUUUUGUCAGCAAAUUGCUUCAUUCGAUUCUGAGCCUUGAUUAGAUUACCCCGCAGCAGUUCAUUCCAUUUCCUUCUAUCUCCUAGCCAUUGUUCCACAGCAGCUACAGGAGUCUCUAAGCCAUUGAGGCCUAAUUGCGAGGGUGGAUAACCAUACAGAGCCUGAAAAGGAGUCAUCUUUAAGGCUGUGUGAUGGUUGGUGUUGUACCACCAUUCAGUAGCUGUUAGUAAGGACUUCCAUUUGUGAGGCUGUUGGAAACAUAAACACCUCAAGUAUGUCUCUACACAUCUGUUCAGCCUUUCUGUCUGCCCGUCUGUCUGGGGGUGGUAGGCAGUGGAGUAAUGCAACUCAGUACUUAGCUUCCCAAACAACUCCUGCCAGAACAUGCUAGUGAACAGCCUGUCUCUGUCUAAUACAAUGCUCAGAGGUAAUCCGUGCAGUUUGUAGAUGUUAUCAAAGUAUAUGUUAGCUAUUGACUGUGCUGUAUACUUAGAGGGUAGUGCUAUUAGAUGACAAUACUUGGUGAACCUGUCGAUGACCACCAGUAUCCCUUCAUAUCCGUGAGAUUUGGGUAAUCCUUCUAUGAAGUCCAUUGAAAUAUGUUGCCAUGCUUGCUCAGGGAUAGGGAGGGGUUGCAGUAGACCUGGUGCCUUACAGUUUUCCACUUUGCUCCUUUUACAGAUAUCACAUUGCUGCACCCAUUCUUCUACCUUCCUUCUCAUUCCAGGCCAGAAGACUGGUCCCUUCAAUCUCUGAUAGGUUCCCAGAUAUCCUGAAUGACCCCCAAGGUGCGAGUCAUGGAAGCAGGCUAUCAACUUCUGUCUCAAGUUCCCCGAAGCUCCAAUGUAUACCCUGCCCUUAUACCUGAGCAAUCCCCCAACAAAAGAGUAAUUUGGGAGAGAAUCUGGUGUAAUAGUCAGGGUUUCCAUUAAUUUAGUCACUGCAUUAUCCCAUUGGUAGCUUUCCACAACUUCAGAUAGCCAUGCAGGUUUCAUGACUGAGAGACUGUGUGUAGAACUGUCCUCUUCAUAGUCUCUUCUGGACAGUGCAUCGGCCACAAGAUUUUCUUUUCCUUUCUUGUACUGUAUUUCAUAAUCCAAUCCUAACAAUUUAGUAAGCCACUUCUGCUGAAGGGGGGUAGUUAUCUUCUGCUCCAAUAGGUAUUUUAAGCUCUGGUGAUCUGUCUUGAUAAUGAAAUGAUUCCCUAACAAAUAAUGCCUCCACUUCGAUACAGCUGUGAUAAGGGAUAACAACUCUUUCUCAUAUAUUGAUAACCCCAAGUUCUUAGGCCCCAAGGCUUGACUGAGAUAAGCAAUAGGCCUUCCUUGCUGCAUGAGUACAGCUCCUAUAGCCUUAUGACUGGCAUCUGUUUCCAGAACAAAUGGUAAGGAAAAAUUAGGAAGUGCGAGGACAGGUGUGCUACGCAUCAGUUGUUUGAGUUUUUGGAAGGCUAGCUCAGUAUGUUCACUCCAGUGGAAAUUUUCUUUCUUCAGCAACUCCGUAAGUGGCUUGGCAAUGAUUCCAUAACCUCUCACGAACCUCCUGUAAUAGCCCGUAAGUCCCAAAAAUCCUCUCAAAGCCUUCACUGAUGUAGGUGCAGGCCAGUCCAUCAUGCUUUUGACUUUUGAGAGGUCUGCCUGUACUCCAUUACCACUGAUAAUGUGUCCCAAAUACUCCACUUGAGACUGUCCAAAGAUGCAUUUGGAAAGCUUGGCAAAUAGGGAGCAAGAUCUGAGUGUUUCUAGGACAGUUUUGAGGUGUGAAAGGUGAGUGUUUAGGUCCGAACUAUACACAAGGAUGUCAUCAAAAAAUACUAGCACAAAUUUUCUCAAGUAAGGUUCGAAUACACGGUUCAUCAGGCUUUGAAAGGUUGCUGGUGCGUUAGUAAGGCCAAAUGGCAUGACUGUGAAUUCAUAAAGUCCAAGGUGAGUUUUGAAGGCUGUUUUUGGAAUGUCAUUUAGGUACAUUUUGAUUUGAUGGUAACCAGCUCUUAGGUCGAUCUUAGUGAAGAGCUUAGCACCAUAUAGCUCAUCGAGUAAAUCAUCAAUGAUUGGUAUUGGAAAUUUAUCUUUGAUAAUCAGGUCAUUUAGUUGUCUGUAAUCAACACAGAAUCGCCAAGUUCCAUCUUGCUUUUUAACUAACAGAACUGGAGAUGCAAACGGACUAUGGCUGAGCUAAAUAAUGCCACUACUAAGCAUGUCUUUUACCUGUUUCUCUAUUUCAUUUUUCUGGUUGUGAGGAUACCUAUAAGGUGCUAACUUGAAUGGUUUGGCAUUUGGUACUAAAGGAAUUUGGUGGUCACAGUUUCUAGAAGGGGGAAGGGAUUUUGGCUCCCCAAAUACAUCCUUGUAGUCCGCAAUUAGAGCAUCUAGGGACUGUUGAAAAGUAAUAUCCAACUGAGUUACAGAGUGUACCUGAGUUCCACUCAUCCUCAGCCCGCAGGCCUGCUUCCAAAUUCUGGUGCUUAGUCCCUCCUUCUCAGCAUUGUCUCUAGGAAACUUAAGGACGGCCUCCUUAGACUCUCCUUGUAGCAAGAUCCUUUCCCCUUCCUUAUCAAAUGUCAUGUUCAACUGCCUGAAGUCAAAGGUGAUGGGGCUGUGUGCAGCCAUCCAAUCCACACCUAUGAUCAUAUCAUAAGGUUCUAAGUUAAUGAUAAACAUGUCAUGAGUGAAUGGUUUACCUUGCAUUUCCCAGUUCAUGUUUGGAAUCAUCCUACUACAGGUCAAAUACUCCCCAUUAGCCACCUUGACCUUGAAGGGCUUGAUAGACUUAACCAUCCCUGGAAAGAGUUGAGCCACAGUAUUUUUGACAAAGCUGUGAAUACUUCCCCCAUCCACCAAGAUUGACAGGGGGUUCCUUUGAACAGCCCCUGCAAUUUGAUGGUAUUGUAAGUCAUCUUCCCCGUCAGUGCAUGUAUUGCCAUUUCCACUCCUUUGGCUGACUGUGCCCCUUGGUACUCAAUUACCUCCCCUUCCUCCAGAUCCUCAGGCCUAUUUUCUACUGCGACAAGCAGAUGAAUCUCCUUCUGCCUACACUGGUGACCUGGACCAAACUUUUCUCCACACUUGUAGCAAAGAUGAUGUUCCCUUCUGUACUGCAGUUCUUCUGGUGUGAUUUUUUUGAAAUGUUGAGGUGUUUUUUUUGACAGCAUUGGCAAUGACAGGUUUGGUAGGUGCCACAGUUUGCUGAGCAGCAGCCUGUGUGGAGUUUCCCCAAGCCAUGGCCCUCUGAUGAGGUUUGUGCUUCCUGUGGUAGGCUUCAAAGGCAUUCUCCUGUAGUCUGGCUAACUCAAAGGCUUUGGAUAAUGUUCGAGGGUCGUGAGCUUUCACCAUGGAUCUCAAUUCAUCUGGCAGCCCACUCAAAAAAUAGGAAAUAUAGUAGUUUUCUGGAAGGUGUGGGGCUCGAAUCGUUACCUCUGAUAACAGCUCCUCAAAAUUUUCUUGAUAUGCUAGCACCGUGGAAGAGAGUUGCAACUUGUUGAAUUCCUCCACUGGAUCCAUCUGUCCUAAGGUUCCAAACCUCUUACACAGCUCUCCAGAAAACUCCAUCCAAUCUUUGUGUUACCCCUAGUAGACCUGAAUCCUUGAUACCACACUGCCGCUUUCUCCUCCAAGUGGAACUCUGCCAACUCCAUCCAUUGCUCCUUGGGAAUGUGCAGAAGCUGGCAAUAUUUCUGCAGUUUCCUGAUCCACUCCCUAGGAUUGUCUCCCCUAAAUGCUGGAAUUUCCAAUUUAGGCGUGCUAGCGAAGAAGGCACUCCUAGCAUUCCUUUCUCCUUGUUCUCUACUCCCCAGGUCUGAACUUCUAGAGUGACUUCCUUCUGGAGAUCCUAAUAUGCCUUUCUCUUGAUUUCCACGGUUCAAGUUGGAGAGCUGCUGCGAGAUGGCUGACAUGAAUGCAUCUAGCUUAUUGCCCAGCUCAACACUCACUGCAUCCAACCUAUCCUCCAUGCUCUGCUUGUCUGCUGCCAAGGAUUCCAGAAUUCCUUGAAUCUUGCUUUCUUGCCUGCGGAGCUGUUCCUCCAUCGUCUUCAUCCUUGUUCCAUCCGCCAUUGUGAUAUGUCGAUCUAAGCUUCCUAGUCCAAGGACCGGAAGCUCUGAUACCACUUGUAAUGGUACUAUUAGUUAUGAUCUGAAUAGGCUAAGAAGGUAGAAGGGUGUAGCAGAGAGAACGCAGGGAAGGGGAAAAAUUGUGAGAGAGAAGAGAGGAAAGGAUAGUGUGACAGGAAAGGAAGCUGAAUUUGUUAUAUCUCAUUACAUGCCUUUUCAUCCCCUUUAGGCUUUAUUUAUACAGAAUGCUCCCUCUAGAUCCUUCUGCAACUAGCCAAUCUCAUAACAGAAUGAGCAUGCAUACAUGCAUGCCUUUGACAGCUAGCUGACUAACUAAAUAACGGAAAUGCUAACUAACUACCUGAAAAGGAAAGCAUGGCAGAUACAUUUCUGCUCAGAAAUAUCUAGCGAGAAUAUCUAGGGUCAUUACAGAAAUUCCCCACCAUCUAGGAAAUCUCUCAUGUUUACGGCAUUUAGAACUUGGAGAUGUAACUCCCUCCUUAACAUGGAAUCGAUUGACAACGAAGGAUCUCGGCUGGAUUGUUGGGCUUUCUUCUUUAGAAGGCCUAAUCCUGUCUGAGGUGAAUCUCAGUGCCGCUAAAGAUGGUUUACAGACAAUUAACAUGCUUCCGUCACUAACAAGCUUCGAAUUGUCUGGUUGUGGACUUUUCAUCAAUCCUCAUCUUUCACAGGUCAAUUUCACAUCUCUUUCUUCCCAUGAACUCGGUGAAAGUAAUUUCAACAACUACACGGUCCCUCCUUGGCUCCAUAAUCUUACUGGUCUCCAUAAUCUUGGUCUUAGCUCUAAUCAUCUUUCCGGUCCAAUUCAUGGCCUAUUCGAACAAAUGACCUCUCUAGUUUAUCUCGAUCUAGGGGAAAACCGCUUUGAUGCAUCAACGUUGAUGUCACUUUGCAAUGUGAGCACUCUUAAUUAUUUGGAUCUGAGUUUUAAUGAUAUGCAAGGGUCGAUACCGAGUGAAAUAAGCCAACUUUCGAAGCUGCAAGUAUUGGAUAUUUCUUCCAACUCAUUAACUGGUGUAUUAUCUGAAGACCAUUUUGCAAAACUCGGAGAGCUAAAGUCGUUGAACCUAUCUGAAAACUUAUUCACUCUGAAUGUGAGCUCCUGGUGGGUUCCUCCUUUUCAACUCCGAGAAAUUAUGAUGUCACCCAUCAAAGUAGGCCCCCUAUUUCCAGUUUGGCUUCAAACGCAAAAGGAGGUUCAAAGUUUAGAGAUGCAGAAUGCAGGCAUUUCGGAUAGCAUACCCAGCUGGUUUGGAGUGCUUUGUUAUGAAAUUUAUAUUGUAGAUUUCUCCAACAACAACCUGACUUGGAAUCCGUUGGAGUUCAAACAAAUGAAGAAGAGUCCUCCUGAUGGUAAUUCUCCAAGCAUAGUUCUAAAGUCCAACAAAUUGGAUGGAUCUCUCAAAUCGUUUCCGUCUUAUAUUUAUGAAUUAGAUCUUUCACAAAAUUUUCUUACCGGACAUAUUCCAUUGCCUGAUGUUGGUCAAACUGUUGCAUCUACUCGUUUUCUCAUACUCUGUGAUAAUCAUUUCACAAGCAGUAUCCCGGAAGACUUGUGCAAAUUGGAAAAUUUAAAAUAUCUGGAUCUAUCCAACAAUUUUCUGUUCGGAAGAGUUCCUCUGUGUUUGGGAAAUUGGCUAGACCUGCGGGUCCUAAACUUGGCAAAUAAUAGUCUAUGCGGUCAAAUUCCGAGUUCACUAGGCAACUUGGGGUAACUUUGGAUUCUGCAUUUGAAUUGAAAUAAAUUCGUUGGGAAGCUCUUAUCCUCAAUGCAGCGCCUGAGAAAUUUACAAAUUCUUGAUCUCGGUGACAAUGGACUUACAGAUAUUAUACCAACAUGGAUUGGGGAAAGGUUAUCAAAUUUAAAGUUUCUAAGAUUUCAGUCAAAUAACUUCCAUGGAAUCAUUUCUGAUGAGCUCUGCCUAGUCUCACGUCUUCGUGCUGAACCUAGCGCAUAAUAAUUUAACAAGAUCUAUUCCUCAUUGUUUUAUCAACUUCUCAAUGAUGGUAUCAAGUGAACCAGGAACUGACCUAUCAAUGCAUGAACUCUUCGGUGCAAUCCCUAAAAGCUUAUCUGCUUUAAACUGGUUGAACUUCCUGAAUUUGUCACACAAUAAGCUAUCAGGGCCAAUACCAUCAGGGAAUCAAAUUUAGACCUUAACCGAUCCAUCUAUCUAUGAAGGAAACAUUGGACUCUGUGGCAAGCCACUCCCAAAUGACUGCCUGGAACAUAAAUUGCCUACGGAAAAUGGGCAUAUUCAUGAUGAUAUAGGCCACGCGAGUCUAAUUGGUCUUGGUUUUAUGCUGUCGGGCUAUUGGGAGUUUUGGGAAUCCUUCCGUUCAAGAAGUCAUGGCGCUAUGCAUACUUCAGGUUUCUGGAAAAUGCCUAUGACAAAAUUUACGUAAUGAUUGCAUUGAAGGCUAAUCAGCUGAGGAGGAAUUUCCAUUGAGUAAUACCCUGUAAAAGCACAUUUAUUCCGUUUUUCAUAUCACACAGUAGCAUACUCUCCUUGAGAAUUUGCAAAACUAUAGUAAUUUGUAGUAAAGAUUUGUUUUAUGCGUCCCAACUUGACCGAUUCUUAUUCAAUAAGAAAAUGAUAGCUUACUAGUUUUCUUUCUUUUUUUUUUUCAAGACAAAGAAGCUCAAUAAGUUAUAUCAACAAAAGAAUAACGCACCAAAAGCAGUAGAUGAUUCUAGCAUCAAAUCAGUAUCUUGCAAAGGAAAUUUUCCCAAUAAACUAUUACGUGAUUGAAGACCAGAAAUUUCCAUUCCUUAACUUUUGGAACUUUUUAUCUUAAAAACUAGGUACCAAAACCUUAGUUGCUUUCUCUAGAUUCUCUCUUUCUAUUGGCAAUUAUUUUUAGUCUCUCAAAAAUUUGAUUUCUAAUAAUUCUGCUCUAUUCUUCAUAUUUACAUUGCAUUUUCCUAUGUUUCUUUACAUUCCAUACUAUGAGAAUCUUAUUGAUUUUUAUUUACAACCGAUUAAAUAAUUAUUUUUCUGUUCGCAUUAGAAUGCAUUAAAUAUUCUAUAUCGAGCAAUUUAUAGGUUGUUUAUCUUGCUUACUGAUCUAAUUUUUGCGUCAACAGAUUUAAACGCUUUAGAAGAAUUCUAUACUUGUUUAUGCUAAUAAUUGAUUUAGUUGUUUAAUUUCUAAUUGAUAUGCAUUUGAUAGGUUGCGAUUUUAUCAUUUAUUUUAUUAUUAAUUUCCCUUAUUGCCUGAUCCGAUGUGGAUUAAUUACUGGAUUUAUUCACUUUUAGUAUUUUGCAUUUAUUUCAGGGAGUAGAAUGAAAAUAUGACAACAGGUGCUAAUUUGGCAGAAAAGGAAUCCAAAUGAUAGAGUUUAUCCUAGGGGUAUUUUUGAAAUAAAAAGAGACGCAAGACCUUUUUGAUAAUUUGGUCGAAGACAGCAGGAAAGAAAAGGGAGGAGCUGGAGUCUUCGGUUUGAAGACUGGGCCGCCGCACAGUAGCAGAGGCUACUUAGAUAGGAAUUAGAAUUAGAAUUGAAUUAGCACUACUGUGGAUAGAUAGCUUUUCUUUCGAGGAGCUAUGCCCCAUGCAUGUCAGGAGCAAAAUUGGGGAAAACUUUGACUUUUCUUCCUUUGAGCUUUUAGUAGUUGUUUUUCCUCCUUCGUACGGCAGACGAAGGGAAAACUACCAAUCACCUUUUGCAGCCUGCUAUCUUUUCAAUAUUCGGACGAAUUGAAUUUUUCCAAUCUCAAAGGACGAUGGCUGCUGCUUUCUCUUCAGUUUUGUAUGGUUUUUUCGCACCAAAUAUGAACUAAUUUCUUCACUUUAAUCAAGGAACAACGGAGGCUUUGGUUCGUCUAAAACUUGUGAGAUCGAUUUAAUUUUAUCUUUUUCUUUUAUUUAUUGGUAUUCGCAUAUCUCUUGAUUGCAUUGUUCAUGAUUAUUUAAUUAAUUGAUUGUCUUGAAUCCGGAUAAUCAGUUAACUUAAUAAUUUAUUGUCAAUUAGGGCAUUAAAUCCGUAAUUGUUUAAGUGCCUUGAAAUAGUGACAACUGGCACGAUUAGAUUCGUGUCAAAGGGAUACGCAAGCUAAUCUGAAAUAACCCCGGUAGUGCAUUAUUUGGUUAGAAUAUGGCUCCUCUAAUACGUAAGACAAUUAGAGAAUUGAAUCUUAUGGGCAUACCUAAGAUUAUUUCUCAAUUAGAGCAGUGAUUAAUGGGCGUACCUUAAUCACCGAUACAGUAAGGAGGGGUUGACUGGCAUCACUUGUUUGGUAGUUAUAACCUAUUUAUUAAUAAAUAAUUGGAAUUGCUUGUGCAUCGAUGAUCAAUUAGGUGAACCAUUGCUGAAGUUAUUUCUUGGCUAGACCUUUAAUUAUUGUUAAUAUAAUUUUAGUGAAUUGUCAUUUAAUUUCUAGCUAGCUAUUUAUUUUUAUUCUUAUUUGAAUUUCUUUGAUUGUCAUCGUUUAUACAAAAACACCCCCUGUGUUACUUUGGAUUUCUUAAGAGACAAAUAUCCCCAAUCCCUGAGGAUACGACCCUACUUGCCCUGUCUACAAAUUCAUAAUUAUUUGUGAAAAAAGCCAUCCCAUUCGAGUAUAUCGGAUCAACCAAACUCUUUGGGAACAGGGUGAAUCAAGUAACCCAUUGCACACCUAGAGUCCUUGCUCCAGUACUUGGAAUCAGAUUUUGGUUACUUUAACUGGCAAUUAGGUUUAAUUUUAUUAUUGUACAGGCUUCGACACCUGUCAACAUUCUAGCUUUUCUGCCAACAACUCUUAUGAAUUACCAACUAAUGAUUUUCAGGUAUUACAUUAAUUCUACCCACCUAAGUUUCACUCUCGAAACUUAAUUUGACCAAAUUAGCAUAAAAACAAACUGCCCUUCCAAUUAUAUCACUUUACAUGAACAAGUAUUAAUUAAACUACUAGUAUUUAAGGCACACACCAAUGUGUGUACACCUAAAACAAAGCAUAUUAUUAAAAUUUUGAGUAAAUUUGUUGAAAUCAUUUUCAAAGGAAUUAGUUUUAUAUUUUUGACAAUGGGUAUUGGAAAAUUCACGAAAAUAAGUGUACAAAUAGAUUGUUAUUUAGCAGUAAUCCAUAACCAUAAUCGAUAGUUGAUUACAUUGGGUAGCUAGCAAGGUAAGUUUAAAAAUAAUAUAAAAUGACAAAAUUUUAUGUAUACCAAAAGCCCUCUCCCCAUUUAUAUAUUUACAACAAAAGCUUACUCCACCUUUACAUAGAGCAUAGAUAUUAUUUAUUCAAGGACAAUUCAUGUCCCUCCUCUCCUUCCCCUCCUCGUUUUUUUGGUCAAUCGUCAACUCCUAUUACUACUCCUACUCUAACCAAUAUUAGGGAAUGAUCCAACUGGACCAAUGGGGCUGGAGAAAGAAGAUCUCACCUGUAUAUCAAAGAGGUUCACUAGACCAAAGAAGGGUUGGUUCAUGUUCAAAUCCGCUAUUCUUUUUACAAGGCCAUAGAAAUUUCAAACACCUGAUGCCCAUUACGUUUCCCUUGCGUCAACAUAAAUCCAAACAUCAAGAAGAAUUCCACUUAAUUAACCUUAUUUUCAUUUGAACUUUAGUUAUUUCUAAAGUGAUAAUCAUGUCUUACUAUUCAUUAAAGUAACCUACUAUCAAUAAAAACUCCACUAGUAAAUUCCGUGCUCUCAUUUUCUGAUUUGCCAGAUUCUUAGUUGCACCCCCAAUUUACUUCAUACUACAUGCCAUCACAGUGGAUCUAGAAAUAUUAUAGCAUAACCACCUAGAAAUAUCUUCAAGAUAUAAUCCUUUUCAAUAACAUCACCCACUCAUGAUUUUCAAUCUAGAAUUACCUGUAGUUUUAAGAUUCAAAUCAAGUGAUCAUAAAGCCAUGUGAGAAAAACUAAUGAACAUAAAUUAAAUUUCUAACUCAUCGAUUGCCAAUGGUCCUAUUAGAAACUAGUUCUUGCAAUCAAUAAUUGGUAGACAUGCAAUAAAAAUGUGUCCUAGGCCUCCUGAUCUUCUAAACAAACAUGUAAGAGCAGAAGGGUUUCAUGAACAUCCUCCCAAUGAGGAAUGUUAUAUGAACGGAUCCCAAUCACAAAUUAAAGAUUCGUGAAAAAAGAGAGAAACUCUAAAAAAUUGGGUAAUUCCAAUAAAGUUUGAUAAAAGUUGUUAAGAGAAUGAGAUAUUACUUAGGCCCUAUUUGGCAAAUAACUCCCAAUAAAUAUCUGGGUAAAACUUAGGCCUCGUUUGGCGAAUGAGUUUUUUGAGUGUUUAUCUAAAAUUUUACUGCAACUUACUGUAAAAAUUGUAGGAAAAAAUUUUAAAAUGAAAAUUUUUUUUCUUUUCUUUUUAUUUCUUUUUCUUUCUUUCUUUCUUUGUUCUUUUCUUUCCUUUCUUCUUCAUCUCCCUUCCCCGUCCCCUGCCACCUCUCGCUUCCAGUUGGAACAAGAAUUUUUUUUGCUCUUUUCUCUCACCCUCUCUUCUCUCUCCCCUCCCCUCUCGCCCCUUUUCCGGGUGCUUUCUAGUCGUGUGACCAGAUCGGGCAAAGGGGUAAGGGAAGGGUGGUGAGGGAGGGAGAAGGGGGGAGAGAAAUGGCGGGGAAGAGAGGAGGAGAGAGGGAGAGGAGAGAGAGAGAAAAAAAAAGAUCGGCCGACUCCGAGGUGGUGGUGGGUUGAGAUGGAAGGAGAAAGGAGGAAGAAAAUUUCUUUUGUGUGUUUUGGAUAUUUUGAAAUAUAUAGUUAAAGUUGUUAAAAAUUUGAUAGGAAACAAACUUAGCCAAAAAUUCGUUUGCCAAAUAGGCCAUUAGUUCUAGGAAUGCUUUGAAAAUCCUUGUUAGAGGGAUAGUGAAAUUCUUGUUAUCCAUUAAUAUCUGAGGUCAUGUUAUUCAAUAAUGGUAAUUGUGAAAAAAUUUUCUCUUUUUUGAUUGAUUUUUAUUCAUAAAUUCAAGCUAUUAUUCAAAUUAUAGUAAUUUAUUGAUGAAUUUGGAUUAUUUAUUGUUGAAUUUGGCUAGGUAUAAAGUUAAUUGAAGAUGCAUAAAAGUUUCAUAAAUAAGGCAGCCUGUUUCGACAUUGCUUUCAAUGAUGUGUGGAUUAUGUUUGUGAACUUUAAUGACACAAAGGGGCAAGCUACUCCUACUACUGCUACUUAUUUUGCAUUUGGGGAUGAGUCCCGCAUCUCGUGCUGGAGUUGAUACCGGUGUAGUAAAAUGGUAAUCCAAUAUGCAAUUAACGAAUUUUGUUCUAAAAGCUAUAUAUAACGGAAAUGUGUGAGAACCUGAGAAAAUUAUGUGUAUGCCCUAAAUUUAUUUCAUUUUAUUUACUUUGAUAUUAGAAAUAUUAUAUAUAACGAAUAAAUGGUUAAAUUAAAUGCCUAAUUGAAUCCUUAUGAAAUUGAGAAUUUAGAAAAUAUCCUAGAAUAGUGUAGAAAAAUUUUAUGAAUUAAAUAAAUAUAUGGCAUUCAUAUCGUAAUUUAUGUCAUUUGCAAAUAUUACUAGACACGAAACAUAUACUAUAUAGUUCAAUAGGUACAUGUCUAAUAAAUCCUUUUUAAAGCUAAAUGUGUGAAAAUCUACUAGAUCAACGUAAGAAAAUUUUUCACGAAAAUAAAAAUUAAGUUAAGAGUGAAUGUAUGAAAUAAUAAACUAAAGGACCAAUUUAACCAUUAAUGGAUGGACAAUUAACCAUGCAACCAAAAGAGGAAUUGAGCUUCUGGACAACCGAGGAACUUAGGCAAUCAAAUGCUUAAUUACUAGAGCGGUGAUUGAGAGAACACUAAGAAGAAAACAGCUCAAGUAGUAAGUAGCACCGACUGGGAAACAUUGACCACCGAGUGGACUGUUCCUUCUGAUUCUAGAGUCUUAUAAGCUGCUAAGUCCAAGCGGUGGCUGAAGGAAAAACCAAGAGAAAUCCACAGCCAAUAAUUUGCUAAGUCAAGCGGUAGAAGUGAGGAAACAAAUAGAAAGUGGCUUGCUAAGUUGGGCGGUGGCCGAGUGGAGAAGCGAGGCUUCAAUUCUUUUCUUACCAACCAAACACCAAGAGCAAAACUGAGAGACUAAGCCAUUUCUUUUCAUCUCAAGGCACAACCGAGAGAGAGGAAAAUAUUUCUGGUUCCUCCUUGUUCCAGUUUUCAACCGAGAGAGUGAGGGAGAGAGUUAGACAUUUGCUAGCUUUAUUUCUCCAGCUUGGAACCUCAAAACUCUGAGCCAAAGUGAGUGAGAGGGAGAAAAAUCCUGGUGGUAUACUUCACCUAACGGCCUCAACCGAAUGAGAGUGAAGUAGAUUGAAGAAAGAGUGAGAGUUGGUGCAAUUUUGAGGAACCGAAGCUCAACUUGGAGCCGUCUGCACUUGCUGAAUUCUAGAGGAAAGGAGUUCUUGUCCUUAGUUUAGCUACCCGAGAGACAUUAGGAGGAAAAGGAGAGAAGGACCAAAAGAAAGAAACAACAACAACAACUAGGAACUCAUUUCUGGCCACCUUCAACCGUGAGAACCAGCCACAAAGAAAGCAGGAAUGCAGUCUAUUGAGCUAAGAAUGGGAGAGAAAAACCAGAAUUUUAUUUUCCUAACUUAGAACCAUAAGAACCAGAGGUAAACUACUAUCUUUCUCUUCCAUUUCUUCUACGUUUAGCUAGUAGUCUUUUAGAAUGAAUUGAAACCAAGUAAAAGAAAAUUUUCUAGAAAACAAAGGUUGUCAAAGCUGGAAAUGUUCGUUUGAAGCUGCAUGUUCUCACUCUAAUGUUUAUAUGAUUGCAAGUUAGAUUUGAGUGUAAAAUGAAGAGAUUAUUAGAGGAAAUUUCAUACUUUUAAACUGCUAGCUGCUGAAACUCCUUCAUCUUGGCCGAGAGAACAAAAGAGAGUAUUCUCCAACUUUUCUCUUCAAACCUUGGCUAUAAAUUCUAUAUUGUGAUUCAAAACACCUCAUAGAAUAAUAAUUAUCACCUGGAUAUUAAGUUUGAAUGAGGAAAAUAAAGAAUUUUAUGGAGAAAACUUGUUUUCCAAACUACCUACUUGCUGGAAUUUUUCAACCUCAGCCGAGAGAGAUGGAAGGGAUAUUUUCUGAUAUUUCUCUAUAGAUUUUGGGCUGUAAACUUUCAUAUUAAGGUUGAUUACACCUUAUAAUAUCAUUAGAUGGUCAUGUAUGUGAAUUUUGGGGUGAAAAUGUGAUUUUUUAUGGCUGGAUUGUUGUUUGAAAGACUGUUAGGCUAAUAAACCAUUUACAGUUUAGUCAACGGAAUUUCUUGGCUUUGAAUGGAUAUUUUAGUAUAAAAUUUGCUGGAAAUGCUUGAUUUGUACUUGUUGCUGUGUUAUGAGUUUGUUGGUGAGUGAUUGGUGGAUGGAAAUAAAAUCUAAAUAGUUAAAAUGGAAGGGAAAGUUUGCUAUACCACCUACAGGAAUCAAAGGAGCCUUGUAACUUAUAUAAGAAGAUAUCCAUUUAUUACUUGGUUUAAUAGGCUCUAUAUAAAUUGUAUACACAUCUUAAGGUAAUAAACUAGUUAUGCAUGUGGUCUUGGUUAAUAACAGAAGGAAUUAUGUGACAAGAAAGUACUUUAAGGUUAGCUACUUCUAAACUUACCUUGUUAAACGUUAAUGUUGAGUUUUAGUACGAUAAAUCUAACAGUAUAAAAGUAGUGAAGUGACAUUACUGGAAUUGCUACUUAAACUUCCUUUCUUUUGGAAAUUAAAAGUUGAAGUAACAAGCGAGUGUGAGAAAAUGCACUAGUCAUCUCAUUUAAACAUAGCAAUGACUUAGAUUUCGGGUGGAAUGGUGACUUAAGGCUAGAAUACAACACGUAUGUUGAUUAUACUUUAGAAUUUCACCAAAUGAGUAGUUAAAUAAUUAUGGCAAUUAUAACUUGUCUCAGGAGACAGCGGUGCGCAAGAAAGCAAUUCUAAGAUCGAAGUGUAACUUUUGAUUAGGGUGAGUGUUUAAGAAUUUAUAUAUUUAACUGUUUAUGUUUAUUUAAGUGAAAUUAUGUGAUAAAUGUGCUUAUUAUGUAUAUUGCCAGUGAUUUAUUGUAAAGUGUAUCUCAAUUGUCCCUCGCCUUCUAAGUCGAGGGUGUACUUUAUCGCACUCGACUUAGUUGAACUUGAAGGUUGAUUAUUGACUAAAUGUUACUGUAAGUAUGUAUGAAUGUAAGCCGUAUGUGUACUUUAUCGCAUCGGCUGAACUGAGCCUCAAAACCCUCUGUUCAACAGAUUAUUCGAGCCAGCAAAGGGCUUGUUGGAUAGGACGGAAGCUUUGGGUAACUGUUUGGUAUACUCGGGUAUUACCCUGAAGUUGGGAGAUUAUUGAACUGAUUGCUGAAUGUAGGGGAUUGAUUAUUGUUUUGGAGGACAUAAGGAGGUGGAUUGGCGGAGUGUGCAAUAAUAUUGAAAUGAAUGUACAAUGACACUGAAAUGAGUGUGCAAUGAUAUUGAAAUGACACUGAAUUACUGAACGGAACUAAGUGCUACGUCUGGAACGAACGGGAACCACCUCUAGAGUCCGUAUCAAUACCGUAUCCUUUGAGGUGAUUGAUUACUUUUAUUAAAUUUGAUAUCCUGAAUUGUUAAGUUUGGUGAAUGUUUUAUACUGCUAAUUGGUUGUUGUAUCCUUUUGAAAGUGACAAUACAGUGAAAUGUGCAUUACUUGCUUAAUUUUACUAGUUAAGUGUUUAUUGAAUGUUACUUGUUCGGCAAACCUCACUAAGUUUUAGCUCAACCUUUUAGUUUUGUUUUCCUUACAAGAAUUGGUGGUCAGGGAAUGAACAAGGGAUCUUAAGGAGUUAACGUGAAGAAUUUUGUGAAUGUAAAUCCUUUAACAUCAAAUUAUGGUUGAGGCUAUUAUAUUGAACUUGGUAUUGUAAAAGAUUUGAGUAUUUGGUUUUGGUUUAUCGAAAUGUUAUCUCUGAAAUUAAUGUAAGUGAGUGAGUCCUGGCGAGAGUCAGGCAGAUGGUCCGCUAACUUCUAGGGUAUGCUCUAGGAGAAGGUGUGACGACCCCACCUCCCCUAAGGCGUACCAAAGGGUUCGGCGGACCGCCUGCCCAACUCUCGCCAGGACUCACUCACUCGUGUCUUACGCAUACAUCCAUAGACAAGAAAUAACAUUGCAAUUCAAACUUGUAAUAUACAUCGAUGCACAAACCCAGAUACAAGACAUCUAUACAUCCAAAAUACUUAAAAGUGUAUACAAUACAAGUACAACGCAUUCUAAGCGAAUGAUAGCGUGAGUACAACUCGAAAGUCAAAACAAUUAGUCUAAACUAGUCUGUACACGUCUCACGCCUCGCUCGUACCCCUGUAAGGAAAACAAAACUAAAGGAGGUUCCAAAUAUCAAAUUGUCCAGCAAAUAAAGUAACAGUGGCAUAAUGGUGAAAUAGCGAGCAAAACAAGUCAAGAAAUGAGUAAUAACACUUCAUAUAGCUAGACACGUAAUUUUUCCGCAUUUCACAUAUAAGAAUACAGUUGCUCAUAUAUCGACUCCACCAUAGCUUGAUCAAUUGGUAGUUGGCACUCCGUCAACUUUCAAGUGAGAAACUAGUCCAGUAGGUCACCACUUCACUCCAAUCUCCGUCCACCGAUCAAACCUCUUACUGGGCUCGAACUCCACAAUAAACACUGGUGGUAAUACUCGAGUAUACCGAUUAGUCGAGGAGAUAACACUCCACUCGACAACACUAGAUACCCAUGGUUCGUUAUCUAAUCGACCAAACCCUUGCCGGCUCGACUCGAUUAACUAGCCAAUGGGGUUUGGAUCCCCAAAAAAUCGAUGAGAUAACACUCCAAUCGAUUGAAUCAAGAUAAAAGUAUGGAGACGGGAAUGAGAGGUACCUCCCACUCGGAUCGAGUGUGGUACAUACUGCCGCUCAGUACUUACAAGUCACACACAAAUAUCUCAAAUCAAUUGCAACAAUAAACAAGUACAUAUCACGUUAGGGCAAGUGCGAUAAAGUACACCCUUGCCCGAUCAUACCAAUCACAUAUCAUUCGAUCACAUUGGUCAAGUAUUAAAAACAAGUAUCCAGUUCAAUCAGGUAUUUGGAAGUACUCACCAAAGAUGUAGUGCCUUUACGGAUCACGGUCAGGUAUUACUCCUUGUGUGGAGUUCAACUCUGCGAUAAAAUGUCAUUUAAGAACUUGAAAUCAAUUAGGGUUCAAGUUUUUUUUAAAGAAAAUCAAGUAAUUGAAACUCAUUUGGGGAAUAUUCGUAAAACUCAUGCUCGCUCUUAAAACUUUGAAAAUUUGAAGCGAUUAAACUUUGAAAUUCCCAUUUGAGUCGAAGAGAGGAGAAAAACGUAUUUCUAUUAGUCGUUACUUUUAUUUUUUCAAGGUUACAAGGUUCGGUCGAAUUCUAACUUAUAUACCACUAUGAGCGAAGACUUGAAUACCCUAGAUGAUUCGAGUUCAAUUCGACCUCAAAUCUUCGCUCAAACUGCGAGUAUACACGUCUCACUUUCGAGUGAAAAUUUGGGCAGCAUACCCCUUUGUAUUUAGCUAUUUUCCAGUCAUUUAUGGCUUCAUUAUUGUUCUCAAUUCAGCCCUAAAAUCACACGCAAAUAAUCUUACCACAAUAGCCUUUCACUAGGCUCAAUGUCAUCCACACACAAGACAAUUUUAGCAUGUAAGCUUCACUUGGAAAUUCGGAAAUGGUGGCCAAAAGCUAAGUACAAGUCUUGACCGCUUUAAUUAAGGUAACUUGUUAAAAGAGUAAAACUUUGAGGAAAUGAGAGAUACAUUAGCGAGAGAAGUUCAAUAGGGAUAUAUUUGAUGUCAAGGAAGUGGAAAAAUCAAGGUGAGGGGUUGGAAGUAGGCCGUCUGAGGUUUUAAAGUCAAGAAGCCCGUUUCUAUACUUCAGGAAUCUACUGAGAUGAAUAGUAACAGUAAACUUUAAAAAUUCGCAACUCGAGUUCCACAAAUCAAACAAUUAUCAAAGUUAUACUGUUGUAAAAUAGAUUUUUAGUACUAUCACAUCCCAGAAGACACUUUUCAGAGAUUCAAAUCACAAAUAGGCCAAAUAUUCGAUCCAAGUCAAAAAUUCAUUUUCCUGAAGAAACAGGACAUUCAAGCAGGACAGCCUACUUUGAGGAGUCACGGACAGCAGUACACAUGGAGGAAAAAUAUGAAAUUUUUACAAAACAAAGGCCCAUGAUUCUAGUUGCAAAUGCCACUGAUGACACCUCAAUCGGAUUUUUCUACACCAAGAUAUAAGCAUUUUACUGAGACUGGUCAGUGAAAUCCGAAAAUCUGGAAACUCAUUUUUCACUUGUGAAAAACUCCUUUUUCUCUUUUAAAACCACAAGACUUUUAUUCAAACCACCCAUACAUUUAAGUAUGACAUUCAUACCAGCAGUUUUAACAUAAUUUAAGCAUCAAAUUUCAACAGAAACCAAAGAAAUAUACAUAUAUUCCAAGUUUAAAGUCUUGUAAGAUGUUUAUACUAAGAUUAAAUCAUUUUCUAUCCAAUAUUCAAGGAUUAAGGCAAAUGAACUCUUCAUUUGUUCCAUUUAAGCUAAACCAGAUUCUAAGUUGUUUGUAGUUUGGGUUUUGUUCCACUACACCAGCCCCUCACAUUAAUAGUCUUUAAAAUAUUAAUGAACACAAUAUUAAAUCAUUAGAAGCCACUUUACGUAUAUAACUAUCAUAACUUUCCACUCAAUCGUGUUGGUUUAACCCUACUCGUGGAACUAGGUAUAUCCAUUAAAUCUGAGAACAAUCGUAGCUAUCAUUUAUGAAAGCUUGCAAGAUUGGAAAUUAGAAGAAAUGUUAGUUAAAAGUUGGUUUCCUCAGGGCCAUCAUCAAAACUGCAUGCAUGUGAAACAAAAGGAAAGGCAACGAGGAAGUCAGCUUUGCCAUCCUCUGGUAUUUCAAUCAUAACUAGAGCUAUGCUUAUCAGAUUGAGGCAAGCUUUAUAGCGUUUCGAAGCUAAGAUAUAUACCUACAUUUCUUAUGACGACACCAACACCCAAUUCUCAUAUUUUCAGGGUCAAAAAUGGCCGGACAGAAACACAUCCUGCUUCACUCUGUCGGACAGCAACCACAAAAUUAAUCCAGUACCGUUACUUCAACUUUUGUCAAAAACUCUAUUCUUUCACUUGCUUAAAGCUCUAAAUACUUAAGGUAUAUUCAGUCCAGCAUAUACAAGGUGAGUAACUCAUAAUUUCAGCAUGUUGUUCGGCCAAAAUCACACACAAAAUCUGUCAUCAGCUGUUGCAUCAUUCAACGAAGUUUUCCAGCAGUAUAACAGUUCAACUUUGAUGUUUUCUCAAAUAUUUCCUUUCAGGUUCAUGCUCCAACUAGAAGUAUAAAACAUAUCUUAUCAAGCUACAAAGUAGCCUUAAACAGAACAUAUGAGGUUUACAACUAAAAUUCGAAGGAAGAUUGAUUAAAAGUCCUUUUCUCUCUCUCUCUCUCUCGGCCUUCCUAGCCAGUUCCAUCAGCUUUAAUCAAAAUUUCACCAUUAGUUUUUCCAUUAUGCUCUCAAAUCUAACUUGCAAUCAUAUUAAACAUUAGACAGAUCAUAAUACGUGAGUUCCAGUCACAAUUUAGCAAACGUUUUAGAGAAAUAACCAAAAUUGCAGCUUUUCCCUCUCGAUUUGCUGUGCAGAAAAUUCCAGCUUUUGAGAUUGCUUUAAAGUCAAUCUUUUCUUGCUUUUAGCUCCUCAAAUAACACACGGAUGACUGGAUUAGGAAGAUGGCAGUUAUAUGAAGUGAGUUUUUAACUAAACUAACAAAAUUUUCUAGAGAUAAAGCUGGAAAUUUCCAGCUUCAUCUUAUUGAUCCUUCAUGUAGUGUCCAAACAGAAAUUCAGCAAAGUUUCUUCAUAUUUUACACUCAUUCCACUUGAGUUCAGGUCAAGUACUGCACCCAUGUCAAGAUAUGUAUACUAUGGAAUAUAUAUAAUGCAUGAAGACAUAAUCUAACACAUUUUGAAGGAGAAUUGACUAAAAAAUUGCAGCUUUUUAUCAUCGGGUAGCAUGCAAUAACUUUGAACAGAAUUUUCCAGCUUUGAAGAACUUUUAUCGGUGAAUUCCUUCCUUUCUCAGUUCUAGUUCAUCCCAAGGAAUUAUUAACCAGGCAUAGCAGGAAAAUGAAGAAGAGCUUAAUUAAUUACCUAUUGUCUCUUCACGGUUUAGACUGGAACAAGAUUUCUGGUUUUCUUUUGUUUCCCUCUCUCGAUUCCUUGGUUAAAUGAGCUGGAGUUUCUCUUGUUUCUUGGCUGGUGUUCAUGGUUGGAGAAGGUAAGAGAGGUCUCCGUUUUUCCUUCUUGUUGUUUCUCGAUUUUAGGCAACAGGGGAAGUGAAUGGAACCCUCUCGGUCACCGCCCAACUAGUGCACAAAUGAAUUUCUUAGCUCCUCUCAUUCGGUCAUCACCUCACGUAGCAAAUAAAUGGGCAGCUGUCUUAACAGGUACCGCACAAUCUAGAAGCCAAUUCCUACUGGUUUUCUCCCUUCCACCGCUUGGACUCAGCAGAUAAUUUCUCUUUAUUGUCUCUCUUUCGGUCACUACUUAUUCAGCAAAUUUGGUGAUGCAUUCCUUCCUGGCAGCUGUCUCAACUCACCGCCCCAGUCUCAGUUAAUUUCUACACUUCACCGCUUAGACAAGUAGAUGGUUGCUGGCUUCUAUUCGGUUCCUAUCAAUUAAAUUUUUAUUCCUCUCUCGGUUUUGGUCUUCUGAAUUCUGAUAGCUUAUGCCUUGGCCACCUGGUAGUUAGUCUAAAAUUUAAGGUUAGUUUGGUCUUUUAACUGUAGCUUAUUUGCUCACAACGGCCUGAUUUGUUUAUUUAUUUUUUUAUGAGUUCAUGCAUGGACUCGUACCUUCAUUUGUAUUUUCGUGGAAAAAUUUUGACACCUUUAGCUUUAAGAAAAAUUAUUAGACAUGUACCGAUUGAACUUCUAGUAUAGUUUACGUGACUAGUUGUAUUUGUUUGCAAAUAACAUACAUUACAAUAUGCAUGCCAUAUAUGUAUUUAAUUCAUAAAAUUUUUCUAUACUAUUCUAGAAUCUUUUCUAAAUUCUCAAUUCUAUAGAGAUUCAAUUAGGCCGUUAAUUUAAUCAUUUAUUCGUUAUACAUAAUAUUCCCAAUAUCAAAGUAAAUAAAUGAAAUAAAUUCAGGGCAUACGUAAUUUUUUUUUCCUGGGUCUUCACAGAAGGUGGGGCCGUCACAAAAUGAUUAUUCGUAAAGAAACUUAUUUAAAAGUUGAAAUUACCCUUGUUUUGAAACUCAAAUGGCUGAAGCGAACAAAAUGCAUAAACAUAAUAUGUAUGACACUCUAACCCCAUAUGAUUUUAUAUUUUACCAUGAAACCCCUUAUGAUUUAAUGUUUUAUCAUAUAAAUCCCUUAUGGCUUUCACUAUAUAUACAUAACCCCCUUAUAGUUAAUAAAUAAUUUUCAACUUUAUAUAGGGUAUUUUUUAUAUUUUAAUUGAUUCCAUUAUGGAUUGUAAAUUUCGUUAAUUUGACACUUUAAUUCAGACAAUAAGAGAGUUAUGUAUAACUUUUGAAAUCAUAAGAAGAUUAUGUAAAAAAAAAUAUUAAAUCAUAGGGGAGUAAAAUGUAAUUUAACUGUGUGCAGCAUCCAGCCCCUCUGGCUGCUGUCACUGGAUUGGGAGGAAUAUAGUAUGAAAGGCUGCAUGCACCGUCCAGCGUCUCUACCACUGUGGGUCAUGACUUUAAUUUCUUCACGGGUAGACUUGUAGUUGCCAGACUCAACACGAAACAAAGUUUGUACCCAAUUUCGAACGCUAUAUGGGCACGUCGAGAUAUUGAAUGCUGUUCAUUUACGAUUGUUUUGGUUACUCCAAAAUUUAAACGUGCAUUUGAAAUUCAUUAAAUAUCUGUUUACUCUUCUUUUAGCUUCAACCUUUUUAUAUAUUCAAAACCACCAAAAUGUUUUGCUUAUAUUUAAAAAAAAAAAAAAAAAAAAAAGAGAAGAGUUUAUCAAGUCUCAUUGAACGUAUUAAACAAGGUUUUUACCACAAAAAAAAAAAAAGAAAUAUAGCUGGAUCCAUGCAAAUAUCUGUAAAGGCUUUGUAAAGUAUGUGGAUCCUAUUCUAUAAGUAAUUAAAUUUUUUUUUUUUGGGUUAUUCUUGGAAAUAGACUACUGCAACCAGUUACUAUUUAAGUGGUCCAUGGCAGUAACUCUGAUACAAAUUGACAAAUGAAUACAUAUUUUUCAGGAACUUCAAGUCAUUGUCAUUUUAUCAGCAAUUUUCUACAAGCAUUUAGAACCAUAGAUGAUGCUUUAUCAGACGACCAAUACCAAAGGAAUUGAAUACGCAUCUCCUUAAUACUACUUCAUCAUUAUUAGCUGAUUGAUUUGGUAGUAGUAUUCCUGUCACUUUUGAUGCAUUAAAUAAGCUUAUUAAUCAAUUGUCGCUUGCGAGAAAGCUUGAUAAAAAAAAAAAAAAAAAAAUCAUCUCCAAAAACAAGUUGGCUAUGACAGGAAUGGGAGAGGGGCAAUGACAAUCGUCAGUUGAAUCGUUUCGAAACGAUGUAAAAGGGAAUCAACAGGCAAGUUAUCAAAUAUUUGUGAUAAACUCUUAAAACACACAUGUUAUAUACUUAAACUCUGUUCACGACGACCCUACAAGUUAGUUGAGUUAGAGUUACAUAUAUCGUUAUCUAUCUCACCUUUACAACAUGAAUUUUUAUGUUAUUGGCAAAAUCUGAGUCAUGAACCUUCCGAAACGUUCGUCAGUUUCGUGACAACCAUUUAGUCCGACAAAGACACUUGUCUUGUUGUAAAGUGAACUAGAAAAAUUACCUCGCAGUAUAUUUCUUAGAAGAAUAGACUAAGUACCAUCCGUUAGCCAACCACAAGUAUAGCAAUUGAAUCAAUUAUCCUGACUGAUUCUUAGACUGUUUAUUCCAACAAAUUGCCGAAUAAUGAUAUUAUGAAGUAUGUAACUGCUUUAUGCUGCUGAUACAUGUUUUCAUCGAGUGAUAAAAUUUGUUAUGUAUUCUGUAGUUAUUGUUGUAAUGAUUUCCACGAAGACUUCAAGUCAUUGUGCCUGUUUCAAGUCAUCGUGAGCCAUUGUUCCGAACCAUAGAGGUUCUUGCGUGAAUAUGUUUGUACUGGAGAACGAAUGUGUAUCUAAUGAUGAAACAUAGGACAACUGAAAGAAAAAAUACUUAUAAACAACGCAUUGUUUAUUUAUUUAUCAUUUUCGUCUCCGGCAUUAACAAGCAGGAGUACAUUUGAUUUCACCCCUCCUUCAGCAGAUAGCGAUCGAGAGGAACUGAUCAGGCAGCACGAGCAUAGGACCGUAGCAUGGACUGGAAAUUUACCUCGUGAUGAAGGUAGGGGAAAACCAUGAUGCCUCCAUAAACAGGAGAGUUCUUCAGAUAGGGAAGAACCUCAUAAACUAGCUCAUUAGGUGAGAUGAAACCGCCCUCAGGUGCGAUAGAAGAGUUUAUUG